CUUCCUUAGUUCUUCUGAAAAUUUGGCAGGUCUGAGUUGAACAUCAUCUUCGCUUGAAAGAUCUAGAUGAAGAUGUUUAGCAAUAAGAUUCUGCAAUCUAUUAAUGCUGAAAUCUUGAGACACAGUCACCCACCAAACAUGAUCACAGAUAUCUUGUCUUUGUAGAAGCUCAUUAUGGAUAUGUUGCAGUAUUGUUGUUUUACCAACCCCCCCCAUCCCAUAAAUGCCAAUGGUUGAGACUUCAUCAUCCAUUAACAAAGACCAUAUCACCUUCGUAUUCUCUUCAAAUGCUCGACCCACUAGCUUCUUAGAGCUAGUAGGUAAUGGAACUCCUCUAGUCUUGUUGUUUUUCAGAAUUUCAGAAGAUCUAGCUCCUGGGCCAGCCUGCACUACUGAUCUUCCACUAUUCUCCACUGGUUGUGUCCUCACUCUAACCAUGUCCUGUGCAUCUCCUCGAGGAGCACAAGGUUGAUCAUAACAUAUUCCAGAGUCAAGACAAAAUUGGGAUGCAUCUCCUCGAGGCUCCAGAAGCUGCUCUUGCUCUGUUCUUGGUACAGUCUCAAAUGCAUCAUGCCGAAAAGAUCCUUCACCAGUGUUUUGUUCCAACGCUCGAUCCACUGGUUCUGUCCUCGGUCUGCUCUCGAGUGCCCCUUCGGAAACUCCAUCUUCUGGUGCUCUCGUUCCAGUCAUGCUUACUACGUCAUUUCCUGCUAUUGCAUGUGAAGAAAUCCUCUGCUCCCCUACUGCGGGUUUUACAACCUGAACUUCUCUUUGUACCCUUCCAAUACCUCCUACCAUUGUUGAAAUUCCACAAUCAUUAACAUCGAUUGAACUUGCUGUGAUUUUAUGUCUUUUGUUGCCACCACACUUAGCUUUCCAGACUGCUUCUUGAACUUCUUUAGGCACCCCACGACAAAUGGCAACACCACGCCCUUCUUCUCCUGACAAAUGCCAUUUAAUCCUUGAAAUGGCAGUAUCCUUGGCAUAUGUAUGUGGACAAAACUUACACUUCAUCCUACCAUCAGCCCUAUAUUCAACAUAAUUCCAAAAUGGAUCCUUUGAUCCAACCAUUUCAACCUAUAGGAAAAAAAGGAGGGGGUCAAAAUAUAGAAUAAAAAUUGAUGCAAGUUACACCAUAUCCCGAUGGAUGAGAAACUACUUCUUCAGUGUUGUUACCCUUAUUUUGAUAUUAAAAUUGAUAGUUAGUUUAUUGCACAAUCAUAGGGGGGGAAAGACAACGAUAAUUCAAUUAUACUUCUUACUUGUUGAGUAUUUAAACCCCUAAUUUGACUUUGCAGGGAAGUCUCAAGGCCAGGAUUUUGCAAUCCUCGGACUUGGACGUUAUACAUCUGUGACCUGUAUAAAAAUGAAGUGAUCAUAUUAUAAAACCAAAAAUCAAUGGUGUAUUUAAUUAUAAAAAUGAAGUGAUCAUAUUAUAAAACCUUUCAAUAUUUGGUAGCCUCUCUUAAGCAGUAAAUAUCAAUGGUGUAUCUAAUUAUCAAAAAGGUGUUAAUACCGUGUUAAAACACAACAGCUAGAAGUCAAUCAGUACCUCGUAGAGUUGCCAGAGUUUCGAGGCACGAAGUUCUCUUGUUGCAUAUUGUCUAUGUCAGGAAUUACAGCAGCUUGAUCGUCUUGUCCUUGAUUAGAAAGAAAUUGAAUCCUGAAUCCAAAAUCAUUGGCAAGCAUUAUGAAGCAUUACAAACUUAUGAUUAUCUAGCUGGGUUCAUGUUCAAGCUAUGAUGGUACUUUCCUCUUUGAAAAACUAUUUCUUUUUUUUUUUACAGCAAAUACUAAAUAUGAAAAAUUGGAUACCAGGGAGCAGGAAAAGAAGGUCCAGAUUGAUUGAAGCCACCAUGUUGUGAAGUGGUUACAUUCGGUGUCAUAUAGCCAUGUCCCUUCUGAGCUUGAUGAAUAAAGGAGUUCUGAUGCCUGAAUAAUAUUCAAAUAGUUAAACACAGAACUGUUAUUGUCACAAAAAAGAGAGAUAGAGAGCUCAAAAAGACUUGAAAGAUCCUCGACCUCGUCAAUUUUGGUCAAGUUUAUUGUUUUCAUGAUUAAAAAAGUGUAUAUUCGAGGUUAAUACCAUUGAUUCAAUGGAGGUUGAGGUCCAGGUAGCAUCCCAGGCACUUGAUUGCUCAUAAUUGGUAACUGAUAAUUAGUCCAUUGUUGGUCCCUAAAUUAGCAACAUUUAUUAGUGAUUUCUUUAUACAUAUGCAUAGUUCUUUGCUAUUAAUCCACUAAGCAUUUGAUAUCAUUUUAGCUUACCUCAAAGGCAUUGAUGGUCCAGGUACCAUGGGAUUGGCACAUUGAGGAUCAAAUAAAUUAGGAUUAGGCUGAUACCUAUAUUCAAACAUAAUGAAUUCACUGAUAAGUACAACAACAAGAGGAAGAAGAAGAAGUUAAAUACUGAUUGAAAAACUUUUUUUUUUCAGAAAAUACUAAAUAUGAAAAAUUGGAUACCAGGGAGCAGGAGAAGAAGGUCCAGAUUGAUUGAAUUCACCAUGUUGUGAUGUGGUUGCGUUCGGUGUCAUAUAGCGAUGUCCCGUCUGAGGUUGAUGAAUAAAGGAAUAAUGAUGCCUAAUUCAAUGGACAUUGUAGCAAAUUGGAGUAAGCAUGAGUACUCACCAUGGUUUCAGGAAAUGAAGUUGGAAACUGAGUUGUUUGUUGAAUACUAUCGUUGAUCUCAUUGUUCUGUCCACCUUGAUCAUUGCAUAAUAUGGAGCCUUGGUUGACUGGAACCUCCGGUGCUGGCCUGCUUCCAUGGAAUAAAAUAGAGGAUAAACAGAAGAAUAACUAAAUUGCAAGCAAUCAUCUUCUGAUAAAAUAUGCUUAAGAAUGACGUACGAGAGAAGUUGUGAUUGAAGAUCGAAAAGAUCAUCAUCCAUAGAAGAUGGUUGGAACCCUUCCAUCUGACCAAAAGUACAGGAUGAUUAGUACAUCCUGAGGUGAAAAAAGAACAGAAAGUACAAAGCAAAGAAAAAAAAAAGUAUAUAUAUAUAUAUAUGGCAGUCCCAUUAAUUGGAAAAGAAAAGGGUGAAUCUAAAAUAAGGAGUUAAAAACACUACUUUACCUAAACAAUUAUGAAGCUUAGAAGAAGAUGCCUAGAAAAUGUAAACACAUGAAUAUGAGAAACAAUAAUAUACUUUUCUUUUUAAUUUUUUUUAUUUUAAAAAAAUUAAAAUAAUAUUUUUUUUAUUUUUUAAAAUUUAUUUUUAAUAAAAAAAUAAUAAUUUAAAAAGAAAAAUAAUCAAAGUUUUUGAAAAGCAUGUGCUCUAACAAUAACAGAUUAAAUAUGUGAUUAAAGGUUUUCAGUCGAUGCCAUUACAUGCAGUCAAAGACUCCAUCCUUACUUUUAAUAAACAAAACCUACACUCAAUAAUAUGUCCUAGUAUUUUUGGCCAGUGUUUUUCCGUGGUUGGAUUAAUUUUUUUAAAAUAUAAAAAUAAAAUAUUAAGAGUGAAGAAAGUUUGUUUGCGAUAUUAUUAAACCUGUUCAAGAAGUUAAUAUUAAAAUCUUCUAACCUAACUUUUUAUUUAAUUUAAAUUUUUAAUUAAAUUAUAUGAGAAUUAACUUAGUAUAUCCAAAUACAACUUAGAAAACUAGAAAAACAUGGUUUAGCUUUUAAAAAAACUUCUAGACAACAACUUUUUAAAAAAUAUAUAUUGAAACAAUGACAAAUUUGACCCGGUCCCUCGCAACCUGGGUCAUGAAUUCUAUUGGGUUUAGUAAUUUUUUAUAAGCUUUUUUUUAUUUAAUUAUAUGAUAAAAAUAGAUACUCAUAAAAUUGAGUAUCAUCCCUAGCUAAAAUAAAUAUUUAUUUAAGAUUUUGAUAACCCUAUAGAAAGCAAACAAAAAUAAAUUAUUUAGUCUAUUUCCAAACCAAUCUAAUAUUGAAAGAUAAAAUUAAAAAAAAUUAAAAAAAUUAAAAGAUAGAAACAAAAAAAAAACAUAUUCGAUCAAUGGGUAAACCUGUCUAACUUGUGAAUCAGGUAAUUUGAGCUAGCACAUUAAAUCUAUGAACUGGGUUAUGGACUUAACUAGGAUUAUAAUUUUUUUUAAAAAAAUUUUAUUUAAUAAUAUCAUAAUAAAAAUAGAUAAUUGUAAAAUUAAAAACCAACCCAAUAUAUAUUGGCUAUAUGACACCGAACGCAACCACUUCACAACAUGGUGGCUUGAUGGAGUUUGAGGCCAAUUUUAUAUAAAACUUAAUGAUAAAAACAUAUCAUAAAAAAUGUCUAAAUCUCACCAAUUGUUGUCUGUUUGUUUAACAGUAAACAAUUUGAAGAUGCUCGAGAUCGAUACACUAAACAUAAAACUUUUUGCAUAAUACAAACACUUGCUAAUUCAAUGGACAUUGUAGCAAAUUGGAGCACUCACCAUUGUUUCAGGAAAGGACGUUGGAAACGGAGUUGUUUGUUGAAUACUAUUGUUGAUCACAUUGUUCUGUCCACCUUGAUCAUUGCAUGAUAUGGAGCUUUGGUUGACUGGAACCUCCGGUGGCGGCCUGCUUCCAUGGACAGUGACGACAUUAUAUUGUUUUUUGGGAAUAAUAGGAUAAACUGAAGAAUAACUAAACUGCAAGCAAUCAUCUUCUGAUAAAAUAUGCUUAAGAAUGACGUACGAGAGAAGCUCAAGGUCGGGCAAUAGUGAUUCAAAGUUGUCAACCUCCUCCAUAAAAGAUGGUUGGAACCCUUCCAUCUGACCAGAAAAGAUCAGAAAAAACAAAAAAACUGAGGUCUAAAAAGAACAGAAAGCACAGAUCAGAAAAGAAUAUAUAUAUAUAUGUGUGUGUGUGUGUGUGUGUGUGUGUGUGUGAAUGACUUUCUUGUUGGUUAAAGAAAUUCGGAUGAAAAAUAUGAAAUAUAAAUGUUGUUGUUAAUGAUUUAAUCCUUUGUCUUUUAAGAUAAAUUAUGAUACUCAAAUUCUUUUUAUGAUAGAUAGAAAGAUGCAGGAUAACUGUUGAAGGUAGAAGAGCUGAUUGUUUUGACGGGGUGAACAAAAACCUCUUUCAACUCCUCUUUAUUCAUAAUUUGGGGAGCAAAACAAAUGCAAGAUUCAUUGUUUACUGUUAAACAAACCUCUUUCAACUCCUAUUUAUUCUUUUUUAAUUAUUCUUAUUUUGUUUAUUGAAAGGUAAUUACCGAUCAAGUUAAUUCAUUGAAUCAUUGUACGAAAAAAAGUUGAAAAAUAUUGAAUAAAAAUGAAUGGCAGUCCCAUUAAUUGGAAAAGAAAAGGGUGAAUCUAAAAUAAGGAGUUAAAAACGGCAAAGAAUCUUGAAAAGACGAAAACAAAUGAAUUCAGUAUUGAUUUAGUAUGAACUCUCUCCACAAGGCAUGGAUUAUAAAAUCCGAGAAAAAGAUCAAUUUGUUUAUCAUGGAUUCCUUUAAAGAUUCAAACCAUACUUACAUAUAUAAAAACAAAAACACCAACAAGAUGAAGUACAAAUAAUUUACCAACAAGAUUCAAGUGCUGGUUUGCUUGAGCAGUGAUCAGCCAAAAGAAAAGGAAGAGAAAUCACAGAUCACAGAUCACAGAUCACAGAAGAAUAUAUGGUUUAGAAUAUAUGGAUUUUGUAUGGUUUUCUUUGCUUUGGUUUUUUUUAAGCUGCGUUUUAUCCUUCAUAUGACUUUAUGCUAUAUUAAGAUAUUGUAUAGCUUCUGAACUAUUCCCUUCAGGCUUUGACACUUAUAUAAUAUACGUAUCUUUCAAAAAAAAAAACAGAAGAAUAUAUGGUUUAGAAAAAUAAUAAAGUUGCAGCAUACAUAAAUCUAGUUCGCACUGAUCAUGAGAUGUGGAAAGGAAAAUAGGAAUUGUAUAAUGAGAUGAGAUGUGGAAGAGAAUGUUACAGCAGCAAGGUCGCCUCAAUAAUAAUAAUUAAUUAACGUAUUGUUUGCUAGGAAGAAAGUUGCCAGGAAGCAACCCAAACAUUACAUUAUAAGAUAUAGACAGUUAACGUGUGGACCCGUCCCAAUAGUGACACUUCGAAGAAGCUGCCAAGAAAAUGUAAACACAUGAAAUUUUCAAAAAAAAAUGGUAUAUUUAUGCAUGUUGUAAAUUUUUUUUAAUUUUUUUAAUUUAAAAAUAUAUUAAAAUAAUAUUUUUAAUUUUUUAUAUCAUAAUAUCAAAAUAAAUAAAAAAAAUAAAAAAUUAAAAAUAAAAAAAAAACACAUUGCGACUGUAAAGAUAAAUCAGUUUUGACAAGGCUAGAUUAAGUGUGCAAAUGAGAGUGAGGCUCCAAAUCUAAUUACGCAGGAAUUACUAAUUCGGAUAAUUUUCCAUCUUUUUCCGAGUUUUUCGGUUAAAAAUAUAAAGAUUUUUGUGGUGAUUGUAGCCCAACUUUGGGGUAUCGAGUCUCCACGGAGACAAAUUAAAAAAAUAAAAAAAAAUACUAUUUUAAAUGAGUCCAGGCUGGUUCAAAGUGAAUUUCACGACUCCUGGGCCUUGACUUUUCUGUGAGAGCUUCAACUCUACAUUGGAAUGUUUUUUCUUAAACUGUGAGAGCCUCAUAAUAAGCAUAAUGAGGGAAUUUUUACUAAACUAUUAAAUCUUAACAUAAAAGGGAAUUUUUACUAUUUAUCCACGAAUGAUACAAAAAUCUAUACUUUUUAUUAAAAUGAAUUCCUGAACCUAGUCGAAGAACUGUGGCAAAAACAGUUGAAGGAUUCCAACCUAACACAUGAAUGGGGUGGUUAUAUUUUGUCUUGUAUACCUGUGAUUAUUUUUACUAUAUGAUUUCGUUAUGAAGUGAGAUUCACCACACCAGUUAAUUAAAUUAUUUUUAUUUACAUAAAAUUUAUAUUUUUUUAACUUUUACUAUAUGAAUUCGUUAUGAAGUGAGAUUCACCACACCAGUUAAUUAAAUUAUUUUUAUUUAGAUAAAGUUUAUAUUUUGUUAACUAAUAUUAACAAAUUACAGUGUAGAAAUCUUAAAUUGAUUGAUGAAUGAUUUUAUUUUUCAAGUUAUCAUUUAAGAUUUUAAUAUAUUUAAUAGUUCGAAAAUUACAUUUAUUGUUGAAACUUUAAAAAUUAUGAAGAAAUUAUAGUUUCAUUGGCUAAGAAAUGCAGCAUGCCCACUUGGAAUUAUACGUCAUCCAAAUUCCAGGGUAAAUAAUAAUUCCAGCAUUAGAUUAAUUAAUUACACUUUAUUGGUUAUUUUUUUAGAUACAAUUUUAAAGAUGAAGAGAUACAAUCAAGGUGAAAAUAUUUUUAUUAUUUUUUUGGCUUUAGAUUAAUAUUUUUUUUAGUAUUUUUAUAUCAUUUUGAUAUACUAAUGUAAAAUAUAAAUAUUAUUUUAAUGUAUUUCCAAAUAAAAAAAACUUUGAAAAAAAUCAUUACUACAAUAUUAAAUAUUAUCUUAGUCCAUGAUAGUAUACUUGCCUUUCCAAUUUUCAAGAAAACAAAUAAAAAUAAAAUUCAAGACUUGUGUCUGCUUGACAACAUGGUAUAGUAUUGUACAAAUAGAUUGAAGAAAGAGGAGGCCUACGCAUUUAAUUUGGACUUCCUCGUGGAUGCUAUUCCUUCAAAUAUGGACUAAAAUUGUUUUAUAUCACAGCUAGGCAGAUAGCAAAAGUCUAUUAGAGAGAGGGCAGAAAGCCUUAAUUAGGAAAUAACUUCAUAUUCUGGGGGUAGAAACCCCACGAACGCAAUCAAGCAUUGGCUUCAAACAAAGAAGAGGGAGCUUCAGUGCAGUAGGAAACUUCAACAUUCAUUGUGGUCUAUUCAGGAACGUAGUGCAAAUCAUAAUUUUUUAAAAUUUGAAAUUUUAAAAAAUAAAAAUUAUUUUGUUUAUAUUUUCAGAUUGUUUUAAUGUGUUGAUAUCAAAAAUAAUUUUUUAAAAAUAAAAAUAUUAUUUUAAUGCAUUUCUAAACGAAAAACACUUUAAAUCAUAAUCGCUACUAUAAUCCCAAACAUACCCUUAUGAUUUGCUAUCCAAUCAGCACAUCAAUUCUCCAUUAAUACAAAGAUGUUUUUUUUUUUCUUGUCUGGAAAUUAUCAACCAAUAACUUUCUAUCUUUUUUCAAGUUUUUCGGUGAUUUUUUUAUCUCAUAUUCAUGAACUAAAAAAUAAAUAAAAUAAAAUUUUACAUCAAAAUUAAAAAUCAAAAUCAAAAUGCAAAAUGCAAAAGCUUUAGGGACCAAAAUUUUAAAAAACACACCUAGGCUUAUGACCCGGGAUAUUAAAUCGAAAUAACUCUAUAAAAAAACGAAGAAAAUCAUGAAACUCAAGGCCACAUAUCCUAAUAUUGAAGGACAUUGAAAAAAAAGAUAUUUUUUAAAUGACCUGAAAAAAAAUACUAAAAGUUAAUCAAACUAAUUUUUAAAACUCGUGACUUGGGUUGUGAAACCAAGAUCACCUAGAAAACAAAAAUGAAAAAACUUAAAACUAAAAAUAAAAUUGGAUGGUACCAUAAUUAAUGAAAAAAGAAAAAGAGAGGAUAAUAACCCUGGUUCGUAUUUGAAGCUCACAAGUCAUGAAGGUUGGUGUCCGUCCCUUUACAUCAAUGGGACCAUAAUUAAUGGGUAAGUGUAAAGUUGUCAUCUCUCAUGCAAGUGGCUCGCACCAAGUAGGUUGUUAAAAUCGUGAUUUUAACACGGUACGGAAAACAUUACACAAACUCGAAUCGUAAAAACGGAUUGUAAAAUCGUAAAAUCAUAAGGAAUUUUAAAAUACAUUAAAAAAAAAUUUAUGUUCCAAAUAAAAUUUCAUACAUAGUUCAAGCACCUUAAAAAACAUACUUUAAAUAAAAAUUCAUACAUAUUUCAAGCCUUCAAAACUACAGCUAAAGAAGAAGCAAUGAGCCAUAUAGUGAAGCAUAAAGAUUCCCCAAGGGCAUUACAGGCCUCCAAAUCUGCAGAUGGAUCUUAUAGAGUUGGUAACAAAGGAAAGAAAAAUGCUCCUCCUGUCGAUCUCAAGGAGUCUCUUAAAGUUCUUGCUAAACUUCAUGAAGCACCUUGGUAUUAUAAUGAAACUAAAGAGCAUCCAAGAUCAUCAUAUGAAUCAAAAGAUGGAUCUUGGCAUACAAUUCCAAAAGAUGCUGCUCGGUUUUCCUGUGAUGGGUGGGGGAUCAAUCAUUUGUCAUUUGAAUCUCGAGAUACCAUCAAGUCCACCCCAAAACUAAAAGAGCUUCCAAGACUUUCACUGGAUAGUAGAGUAAUUUCAGUGAGUGGAUCCAACAUUGAUUCUAGAUCAAAUUACCUUUCAAAAGAUCUAGAAAGCAUCAGCAACUCAAAUGAAAAGAUCUUUACUCUGCAGCAAUCACUGAAAACUCAGAAACAGCCAGGUUUGAUCAAGAACUCAUUGGUGGAACAUGAUGAUUCCUUCUCGAAAUCAUUGAAAACAAACGAUCCAAACCGACCAAUCCAUAUUCUGAAGUCUCAGAGAAACUCGGUGAAAGAUCCAAUAUCACCCCGGUGGAAGAAUCCAGAUUUGGUCAUGAAACCCAAUUCAAGGCUGCCAAUUGAACCAGCACCAUGGAAGCAGCUGGAUGGAAGUCGAUGUUCUUUGAAACAACCUUUCAAGCCUGAAAAAGUUCCUGGGAAGACACCAAAUUUGUUCCCUUCAGUUUAUCUGUUCCAAGCAGCACAGGACCUUCUACAUGUGCUGGAGCCAAUACGCAGAAAACAAACUCUAACAUCAUAAUAAUUAUGAUCAGGUCACUCAAUUGCAAUCAGCCUCAUCACUCUAUCAUAUGUAUAACCACAAAGUAAUUUCAUUCAAAAUCAACAGAUAGGUCAUCACCGAAACAGAUUAGAGAAAAACAUACUUGUAAGAAAACUCAGGUAUCCCAGAAACUGAAAUCACAUGACUCCUCUUAAAUCCUUCCAGCCACAAGGGCACCCUGUUUCUUCCGGCUUUCACAGGUGACUCUGGAUCAAUGGUCGAGUCAGACAUAACAUUACAUGCAUCUGCACCAUUAGCCCGGAUAGGGAUCUUCGCCGCCCUCCUAGAAUUGCUACUUCCAAUCUGCGACCGUGUAGAGAAGAGAAGAGAAGAGAAGAGAAGAGAGAAGACUGAUAUCGGUGAAGAGAAGAGAAGAGAGCCUUCGAUCUGUUAGAGCCAAUAGGAGCGCGACACGUGGCAACAACAUUGAAUUAAAGUUUCCUGCGGGCAAACUCGUUCAAUCGGUGGUGAAAUCGCGAUUUUAUACGAUUUCACCCAAUUUUAAUGAUUUGACCUAAUUUUACUCAUUUCCGAGUUUUAUAUACGAUUUAGCAUGUAAAACCUAUAUUAACUCGUAAAAACGUACAAUUUUAAUAGUUGAAUCGCGAUUUUAACAACCUUGGCUCGCACCAUUUAAGAGAUCGAAGAGACUCUGUCUAGCCAAAAAGGUCGUACAUUAAUCUAUCCAUUCCAUCAAGUGGCGAAAUAGAACUCCAGGUGUUGAUAUCUAUAAAUGGUCACCAAACAAGUUGAAUGGUUAAAGAAAAAUUAGUUUUAGUUAUCUUCCAUUAGAAAUAUAAUUUUGGCCCCAAGAACUGAUCCAGGUGUUGUUCAUGUCUGAAAGGGAAAAAAAAAAAGCUUAAUGGAAUAUAAAUUUCUGCAGAAUUGGAGAGCUAAGCUCUGUUUAAGCUGUAGCGAAUACUGUCUUAACUCAAGCAUUCAUGAGUUGAACAAACUAGCCUUUCAUUUUUCUGUUGUUCUGCUAUUCCGGACUUUAUGUCUUUAUCUAUGUUAAAAAAACAUUUCAAUUCAAUAAUUUAAAUUAUUACGUGAAGUUUUAAGAUAUAAUUUAUAUUAUUUUUUAAUACACUCUUUUAAGUGAAAGCCAUUUGGGCUUGCAGACUCAUAUUAUCUUAUGCUUAAUUUUUAUCAAAUAAAUAAGAAUGAUGAGAUUCGAACUAGGCUUCCAGACCCAUAUUACCUUAUGCUUAAUUUUUAUCAAAUAAAUAAGGAUGAUAAAAUUCAAACUCGUGACCGCUUGGUCAUUAAAGCUCUAAUACAAUAUCAAAGAACCAUCUCAAUCCAAAAGUUUAAGCUGUUAAGUAAGGUCCCAAUAUAUGAUUUAAAUUAUUCUCUAACACACCCCCUCAAAUGAAAGCAUAUAAUUUAUAUUAUUCUCUAAUACACUUCUUCAAGUGAAAGCCCUUUGAGCUUGCAGACCCAUAUUAUCUUGUACUUAAUUUUUAUCAAAUAAAUAAGGAUGAAGAGAUUCGAACUGGACUUACAGAUCCAUAUUACCUUGUUCUUAAAUUUUAUCAAAUAAAUAAGGAUGAUGAAAUUCGAACUCGUGACGGCUUGAUCAUUAAGGCUUUAAUACCAUAUUAAAGAACUAUAUCAACCCAAAAGUUUAUAUUAUUAGAUAAGGUCUCAAGAUAUGAUUUAAAUUAUUCUCUAAUACACCCUCUCAAAUGAAAGCUCUUUGGACUUGAAACUUAUACAGACCUAUAUUACUUUAUACUUAAUUUUUAUCAAAUAAAUAAAAUUAAUAAAAUUUAAAAUCAUAACCGUUUAGUCAUUAAAACAUUUAUAUUAUUCUAUAACAACUAAAUUUUUUUUUAAACGUAGCCACCCAGUAAUGAGACACCCAACUAGCUAGGGAAACGAUGAACCUCUUUUUGACGGCCUUGUAACCAAGCAGAUUGGAAAAAAUAACCAUGCUCCUAGCCCAAGCCCACCAACAUCACCCCUAGCAGAUUGAAAAAAUGCUCAUAACCAUUUCGGAGAAAACACACCCAGACUAUUAUGAAAGUGGAAAUAAAUGGAUAUUAAUCAUCAAAUAAAUCGUUAGCAGAAACCAAAAAAAAUAAAUAAAAAAUGUUCAUACCACUCCAUCUUAUUGAUGGGAAUGACUUCUGACCUGCAUACAUAUGCAAGGACUCCUGCUAAAAUUAUCUGAUAAAUUAUCAUGAAAAAACUUAAUAAAUCAGAAAAACAAUUAUGAAAUGCUUCGUAAAUUAAAUGAAAUGGAGAAGAAAACUCAGGAAAUAAAUGUUCAAUUCACUUUCAAGCUGACAAUAAAAAAUGAAAGCAUUUCUAUUCAAUAAUAUUUCUUGGCUCACAAAUAAGCUGGCAAGAAUUAUAUGAAAAUCAAAUCUCCCCAAUCACAUGGUCGUAUAAAAUACUUAGCACUCAAAAAGAAAAUUUAUAGGUCAACUCUGUUCAACUGUGCAGGUGGACAACAAAUUUACAAUCCAAGGAAAAAAAUUAGAAAGCAUUCCUCAAACAGGUUGGAAAAGAUACCAGAGAAGAUUAUAAGCAAUAGUAGCAGAAAAUAUAGAGAGCAUUAUUGUGCAGAAAAAUGUGAUAUAAUUACAAGAAAAGCUCAUCCUAACUUCCUUGGCUAUUGCUUAUGAUGGCAGUUUCAGGUUUAGAAACCAAAACUCAUUCAAUAGAAAAUGAAUGUUCAGUUCAUAAUCUCUCAGAGGCAUUUAAUAGAGAAUCUUAGCCUUUCCUCAUUUGAUCUCCUUAGUGCAUACUACUUCAUAAAACUCAUUUAACAGAGUUUCUCAGUUAUUUUCCCAAACCGAGUUGAUAAACAAGAAUUAGCUUUUGAUGAAUUAAGCAAGGUUGGAAAGGGGAAGAGAGCUACAUCUUGUGUUCUUACUUAUCCAUCUCUUAACCACUUCCUAUGGAUAAGCCAAUUAGGGCUUAGCUUAGUGAUUUCAACGAAUUAAAAUAUUUUUAAUUCAAGUUUUGAUAGCUGGAAACAUGGGAUUUGUUUAUAGCCAGUGACUAUAUAUUACCAGACAAAAGAAAUUGAUUGGUUAUGUUUCACUGCUCCCUAACAUGGCAUUUUUAAUUAAAUUAAUAAUAAUAAUAAUAAUAAAUGCUUUUCACUUGCUCUAAAAUCAUAGUUUCUUCUUUGCUUGAUAUAUAUAUAUAUUUUUUAUUAGUAUUUAGAUUUCACAAGGCAACCCACUUCUCUUUUUUUAUUAUUACUCACAGAACCGCUUGUUCUAAACUGCUAGCAGGUUGCCUCUCUGAGUUUGGCUAAGGUUAUUAAUGAGUUUCUUCCCAUGAUGUUAUUGUUUAAUGUAUUAUUUUAAUUUUUAGGGUUUAAAUGAUCCAUUUAUGACCAACCUAAAAAGGUGAAAUUAAGUUGAUCAUCCAGAAUGUAUAUAAAAAAAUCAAAAAUAAAUUUAUUAUAUAUAUAUGCACCUCGCUCGAUAAUUCUUUAUAAUUUUAUUAAUCAAGAAAAUAUGACUUUGCAUGUGCGUCGGACAUGGCGAUAAGAUUUAUGCUGAGGAUAAACAUAAGAUUUGGUGGAAAAAAGAGAUUAACGCGUUUUAAGAGGCAACUUGUACUAUAAUAAUGGAUUUAAAUAGAAAUCAUCGACGGAUUUGAAUACAAGGCAAAACUAAAAUGUUUUAUGCAUUAAAGACGUCACUAAAGAAAACAAUAAGGACCCAAUCGUGAAUUGGUUAUAAGUUGGGGGCUUGUACGAAGCUAGCCCUUAUCCAAACCAAUGAAGCAAGUGGGAUAUAUCCAAUUUGCUAAAGUGGUGGGUGCCUAUGUAGUGCUACGCUGUAUUUUGAUUUAGAAUUCAGCUUAUUGAUUCAAAUGUAUUCAAUAACUUCAAUUAAUUUAAUAAUAUAUAUAUAUAAAUAAAUAAUAAAAAAACCAACAAUGAUUAAUUAGAAAAAAUAAACUUUUGUCAAUAUUAUAAAAAGAUACCCUCUAAUUAUUUUUUAAAAAAUCUUAACGAUCUUAUUUCAUUACAAUAUAAAAAUUCAAUGUAAAUGAGAUAAUUUUAUGAAAUAAAAAAUAAAAAAAUAUAACGUUUAAUUUCUAGAAAAAUAUUAAGUUGAAAAAUAAACUAGAAAAACACAUCAAUUUAAUAAAUAAAAAAACACGACUCAAAUUAGGAUACCAAAUCAUGACCAGGAUAAACCUACGUAUAAAAAAUCAAAUAAAACAAUAGGAAUCAACUCUAAGCAAACUAAAUGAACUCCUAUACUAAAGGCAGAAGGAUUUAGAGCAACAUUCUUCCCGGCAACAAUGCCAGCUUACUACAGAACUCCUCCUGUCCAAUCCACUCAUGAUAGAGAAACAGGGAAAUAGUUGUUUAUUUUAUUGGUAAAGGAACCGAUUCUUAUCAGCUGAAUUUAUGAAGAAUGAGGUACAACAUGAACAAACAUGAAACAAUCCUCAUGAUGUACCACAUGAAACGAAUAAGAUGAAUCUCAAAAUUGUAUCUCCAUUGUAUUUUGAGUUUUCCAAAAUAAUAAUAAAAAAAAUAAUAUAUGUAAAUGUUGUUUUUAAUGAUCAUGAAUCCAUUUAGUUAAAUAACGUUGAGAAAGGGUUUUGAUAGUUAUUGCACACAAACAUGAAAGAGCUUUGUCUUCACGAUUUGACUCCAGAAAUAGUCAUCCGAUUCCAGAUGAAAUAUAUAUUGAUAAAAAUAAUAAAUAAACAGAGCAAUCAAUAAACUAAGAGAAGAAGAAGCUAUAAGGUUUCGAAGAUAACAAUAAAAAUAUGGAGUGUGAAGGCAUCAAGAAAACCUUAUAUCUGAAAUUGCCAGAAAUGGAUGAGGUGUUCCUCUCUAAACGUUACACUUGUCUUCAUCUUCAGUUUCCAACUUCCUCAAGUAUGCUACUUCUUUUCCUUUAACUGUUACUGGAGCUGCACGCCAAACACCAAAUCCAUCGAGACCCGGUUGCUGUAGUACGAGGAUUUGCAGGUGAGGGAGUUUAGGCAAUAUCCCGGUAGGAAACAUCUUCUGACCGCAUGCAUUGAGUCCAGGAUACCUGGGGUUGGAUAGACAUUCCAUGGCUUAAGGAAUCAUUUCUAGUGCAGUACCAUAGAGAUCCAACCUCUAUAGUGCCCUAAGCUUUCUUAAUGAUGGUACAUGUCUUAACAUAUCACAAGCAAUGAGCAAUGAGCAACAAUGCAGAGACUCACCAAAUCGAAGAAAAAAUUAGGCAAAUUUCAUAACUUGGAGCACUUUCCAAUAAGGAGACAUUUUCAAGUUUAUUAAGCAUCGCAUGGCCUUUGUAAACUUCUGCCACCCUACUCUGCCGUUUUAUAACUCCCUCAUCAAUCAAAUAAGCUAUCAAAUCCUCUCUAGUGAAUACAUCCUCGUCCAUAUCAUCUUGCCUAACUCUUGAUUGCCUCAGGUCCUCUAAAGCAUUCCUCCACUCGUUUAUGCCAUCCACCCCCUUCAUGGCUCCAGCCAUUGUUAUAAUUCCUAGCGGAAAACCAUCACACUCCUUUGUGAUAGAUUUUGCAAUUUGUUCCACUUCUGGACAAAGUGUUAUGUCAUGUCCGAGUCUCUUAAUAAACAAAGUCCAAGCCUUUUCCUCCAAAAUAGGCUAAAUAGGCUUCACUUUGAUCAUGUGUAGGGUAUUUAUUUGUUGACAAACCUUUUUUGAUCGAGUUGUAAGAAUAAACUUGCAUCCUUUAACUUUGACAAGAACUCCCAGCUUCUGUAACUCAAUAGUGUUCCACAAAUCAUCUAAAAUCAAAACCCAUUUCUGUAUCUUCAUUAAUUCUUUUCUCAUUUCAACUGCUCCUCGUCUUCAUUAAAAAGAUUUAAACCAAUACAUCUUCCGAUACUGCCCUGCAAUUUUUUAAUGCUGGUAUCUUGUGAAACAGUAAUCCAGUAAACAUGAGAGAAAGUAUCUGGUCUACAUAGAAGCUGAUUAUACACAUGCAUCACCAAAGUUGUCUUCCUCACUCCUAAUAAUAAUAGCUUUUUAAAAGCAACAAUAAAAAUUUGAUAUUCGGGUUAGUGAUUGGAAUCGAUUCAAUAAACUCAAUUAAGUUAAUAUAUAUAUACACACACACACAAUUGAUAAAAAAAAAAACCAAUAAUGACUAAUCAUAAAAAAUAAACGCUCGUCAGUAUUAUAAAAAGAUACCCUCUAAAUAUUUUUUUAAAGGUCUCAACGAUCUCAUUUGAUUAUAGCAUAAAAAUUCAAUGAGAAUGAUAUAUCCUCAGCAAAGCAAAAAUUGAAAAAUAAAUUGGAAAAAAACAACAAUUUCAAAAAAGAAUAAAAAACAUGACUCGAGUUAGGAUGCCAAAUCAUGACCGGGAUAAUCCUGCAUAUAAGAAAUUGAAUAAAACAAUGGAGGUCAACUCUCAAGCAAACUAAAUGAUGAAAGGUAAAACUGAAAAAAAAAAAAAAACAAGUGUCAAUCUGGGUUAAUUCGACUACCUUGUGAUCCAAGAUAUGAGAUCGGAAUAGCCAUAUAAAAAGAAAAGCAAAGAAAAUCAUGAAACUCAAGACCCAAUAACUCAAUAUUGAAGGAUAUUGAAAAAAAUUCAUUUUUUGUAAAUGACUUAAAAAAAAGACUAAAGGUAAAUCAAACUAAUCUUUGAAACUCGUGACUCGGGUCGUGAGACCAAGAUCACCCCACAGAAGGCAACACAAAAAAAAAAUCACGAAGCUAAAUUUCUAAUGAUCAUCUAAUUUUUUUUUAUAAAAAAAAAAUUAAAUGGCAAUCAAAACAUUUAGGAUCAAAUCUAGUGUAAAAACUAAAUGAAAGAAAAUAAUAAGGGACUAAAUCAGAAAAUAAAAUAAAUAAAUAAAUGAUAAAAAAUAAUCAAGAGAAUAAGGAUUAAAUUGAAUAAAAAAUUAAAUAAAAUAAAAAAAAGAGAGAUAUAAUUGAAAAAAAAACUAUAAAAAAAGAAUAAAAAAUAAGAAUAAAAUUGGAUGUACCAUAAUUAAUGUAAAGAAAAGAGAGGAUAAUAACCCUGGUUCGUAUUUGAAGCUCACAAGUCAUGAAGGUUGGUGUCCGUCCCUUUACAUCAAUGGGACCAUAAUUAAUGGGUGAGUGUAAAGUUGUCAUCUCUUAUGCAAGUGGCUCGCACCAUUUAAGAGAUCGAACAGACUCUGUCUAGCCAAAAAGGUCGUUCUUUAAUCUAUCCAUUUCAUCAAGUGGCGAAUAAAUGCUUCUUAAAUUAAAUAAAAUAGAGAAGAAAACUCAUGUAUUAAAUGUUUAAUUCACUUUCGAGCUGACAAUAAAGAAUGAAAGCAUUUCUAUUCAAUAAUAUUUCUUGGCUCACAAAUAAGUUAGCAACAAUUAUACGAGAACCCAAUCACAUGCUCAGCACUCAGAAAGCAAAUUUGCAGAAUAACAAGUCUAGUAAACUUCUUGAUUUAGGGCAACAAGAUAAUAUAAACAAAAUGUAACAGUUGAACUCACUUUCUCUCGAAAAGGAUCCAGAUCCUCUGUCACCAAUAACUCCUGGAUUCCUAUGUCAACUCUGUAUAACUGUGUAGGUGGACAACAAAUUCACAAUCCAAGGAAAAAAAAAUUAGAAAGUAUUCCUCAAACAGGUUGGAAAAGAUACCAGAGGCAAGAAGAUUAUAAGCAAUAAUAGCAGAAAAAUAUGAUAUAAUGACAAGAUAGCUUAUGAUGACAGUUUCAGGUGUAGAAAGUAGAAACCAAAACUCAGCAAACAAAAAAUGAAUGUUCAGUUCAUACUCUCUCAUAGGCAUUGAUUAGUUUACUUUAAUAAUAAAUCAAUAUAGUAUUUGUUUUUGGGAUUUUCAUCUUGGAAAAACUCAAUAGGAUGAAAAUAUAAUAUUAAUCAAACUUCAAAUUAUAAUUAUUUAUCUAUCGAGUUAAAAAAAAAGAUAUGACAAUUCAAUAGUCUUAAUUAAAAAGAUAAUGAAACAAAAAAAAAUGUAAAAUGUUAUUUAUGUAAUUGUAAGCACAUUAUAUAAAAAAGAAGUAUUUCAUAAUAAUAAACGCUCUUUCUUUCUAUGAAUUCAUGUUAGGCUUGAUUCGGCUCUAAAAAAUUAAUUUACUGCUCAGAUUUAAUAUCUAACCAUGUGGCUAAUUUCUAGGAGUUCCUUUUUUGAAAUCCUCAUUCGAGGCUAAUUUGUAGCCCUUCAAGAUACCUUUCCAACGCGUUAAGAAUCACAGCAAUCCUGUGAGUGGAAAGUUAUGAUUAAAAUACUUUUAAGUGUGUGGAGGUUGGUUCAAAGUGAAUUAAUUUGACGACUCCAGCUGGGCCUUGACUUGUCUGUUUAAUUUCUAUUAUUUUUAUUCACAUUUUAGCAUUUUAUUCCAAUGAUCGAAUGCACUUUCAUAGACUCAUCAAAAUCCCAGGAACGCAAUCAAGCUUUAGCUUCAAACAACCAGAGGGAGAUUCAGUGCAGUGGAGAACUUCAACAUCUACUAUGAAGCUUGAUUUGCUAUCCAAUCUGCACACCAGUUUUCAAUUGAUACAAAGAUACUGUAUUUAUUUUUGUUGCCGGAAAGUUGUCGGCCAAUAACUUUUUAUCUUUUCUCAAGUUUUUUUUAUGUGAUUUUUUUUUGCUUUCAUCUGAAACUCGUGAACUAAAAGGUAAAUAAAAUAAAUUUUUUUUUGCUUUCAUCUGAAACUCGUGAAUUAAAAGGUAAAUAAAAUAAAAUUUUAGAAUAAAAUACAAAAUAUAAAAUAUAAGAUGCAAAAAAAUUAUAUGGAUCAAAAUUUAAAAAAUAACGCCUAUGCUACUUUAUAGUUUUAGUAUUAAAUUUGGUUUUAGAAGUUUCACUUAUUUAAAAAAUGUGCUUAUGAAUAUGACAGUUUCAGGUUUAGAAACCAAAACUCAUCUAAUAGAAAGUGUAUGUUCACUUAUACUCUCUCAUAGACAUUUAAUAGAGAAUCUUGGCCUUCCUCAUUUGAUCUACAUCUUGUGCAUAGAAGAAUACUUUCUAGAGCACUGAAAUUUAUGAUGUCUUCAGCUUACAUUUCACCGGUGAUGAAUACUUUUGACUUUUGACUUUUGACUUGUUUACACCGGUGAUGAAUACUUUUGACUUUUGACUUUUGACUUGUUUACGAUGUUUGUUGUGAUUUGGAUCGACCAGAAUUCAAGAAUGUGUCUUCUCUCUCUCUUUUUAAUCUGUAUUAUAUAUAUAUUUUUAAAAUAAUUUAUUGCUAGUUAAUGAUAUAAGAUGAUUUAUAAUAGUGAUUAGAUCUAUUAUUUUAUUAGGUUACUUUAAUGAUAAAUCAAUAUAGUAUUUUAUUUUUAUUUUUUGGAUUUUCAUCUUGGAGAAACUCGAUAAGGAUGAAAAUAUAAUAUUAAUCAAACUUCAAAUUAUAAUUUUUAUCUUGAGUUAAAAAAAAAUAGUCUUUAAUGAAAUAAAAAAAAUGAAAAAUGUUAUUUAUGUAAUUGUAAGCACACUAUAUUAUAUUACUUUACAAAGGGACGAAGGACAUCCUUUGCGUUAGGAUGCUCCCACUCCACUACUGUCUCCCACCAUUCUUUUGGAUAUUGAUUUUUUAAGAGAAGGGGGAGGAGAUGGCUGGCCAUUUUCAAGCAACGGAAGACAAAUUGGCAUCCUCUUCAGCUUCUCACAAUCAUUACAUAAUAUCUUCAAGAGAAUUGCAAAUCAGUUUUGCACUGCAAAUGCUUUUCAGUUCUGGUAAUAUACAAUUCCAGAGUUCUUAACUUUGGGAGAAUGACUUCCGUGAUGGAAUUGGAGGUGCUGCUUUCUUCAUCUGUUGUUCCUAUUAUCUCCUCCAUUUUCUCACAAUCACAUCAAUCCUUUCCAGGUUUACGAGGUUUGGCAACAACACAAGCGGGAACACUUCUUCAUACUUUACAUAACACAAAAAACUCUUUAAGACCAGAAAACGUACCGUUACAUGAUGGCAAUCGUGGUGGAGCAGAGCAGAACCAAGAAGAUGAAACCAAGCUCUCCAUGUUAACACCCGAAUGCUGAUGCGCUCCAGUUCAGUUGCAUUCUCUAAUGACAAAACAUCACAUAAACUUCUUGCAUCGAUGCAUUACAAAUCAGUCCUUGAAUGCCAUUUAAGAACUUGACCUGAAAAUCUCUAUCUCCGUUGAUACUCAAAUUACCCAACCCAACUGUUUUACUUGGAAAAUAUUCAAUGUUGCUCAAUAUCUACCCACCUCUCCUACUAAAAUCUUAUGUGCUUAAUGAUAAUCCCAUCCCGAGAUCUGAGAUACUCCACGAAGUCAGAAAACCUUCGAAAUGGCAUUCCAAAGUUUCCAAAUUUCUCAAGGAUCCUACUUCCUUUCCUUUAACUGUUAUCGGAGCAUAUCUUCCUUCUAGUACAAAGACUUGCAGGUGAGAGAGUUUUGGUAAUAUCCCACUAGGAAACUCCUUUUCACCACAUCCAUUCAUUCUAAGAUACCUCAGGUUGGUUAGGCAUUCCAUUCCUUGCGGCAUCUUUUCAAGCAGUAAGAGAGAUCCAACCUCUUCAGUGCCUGAGCUUCUUUAAUGAUGGAACGUCUUAAUUUCCACUUACUGAGCAAUAAUGCAGUGAGACUCACCAAAUCAGAGACAGAGUCUGGCAAAUUUUCAAUACCUGUGCAAGACAGAUCGAGGACCUUGAGCCCAUGCAAUUGCUUGAAAAAUGAAUCCGCAACAAAUCCCAACCCUUAUUAUCACAUAGAAAUAGAGUUGACAGAUGGACACUUGGUGAAUGGCUGGAAGGAAUUUCUUCGAUCUCGUUUUGCAUUAGUGAAACUCUCGUCAGAUUCUCCGUCCACUCCUCUGCAUCUGGCAACUCUUUUAAUUGCGCACCUGCUUUAACCAUGACUUGAGAGUCUAGCAGUAUUUGGAUGGCCAUGUCCCUAAUCAAGUCAUGCAUCUUGACACUCUACAUACCCAUUUUAGCACUUUCCAAUAGGCAGACAUUCAAGUCUAUUAAGCAUCGUGUGGCCCUCAUCAAAUGCAUCUCCCCUGCUCCUCAUUCCUUUAAUUAUUCCCUCAUCGAUCAAAUAACCUAUUAACUCCAGCCUUUCAAUCCUAUGAUCUUCAGGAAAUAAUGCACAGUACAAGAGACAUUGUUGGAGUGCUAAAUCACCUAGCCGAUCAUAACUAAGCCUCAAUAACUUGAAUACUUUCAUGUCCCUAAAUUCCGAUUCUUUCAAUUUAUUCAAUGUAUUUCUCCACUGAUGGAGGUCAUCCACUCCCCUCAAGCUUCCUGCCACUGUAAUAAUUCCCAACGGCAAACCAGCACAUUCCCUUACAAUAUCUUUCGCAAUUCCUUCCACUUCUGGUGAAAGUGCUAUGUCACGUCCAAGUUUCUCCAUGAACAAAGUCCAAGCUUCUCCUAGAAAGUGGCUUCACUUUGAUUUUGUGCUGGCAAGCCAUCCGAUGACAAACCGUUUCUGAUCGAGUUGUCAUAAUCAGCUUGCAUCCUUUCAACUCAGGAAUUCCCACUUCGUGUAGCUCAAAAUUGUUCCACAAAUCAUCUAAAAUGAGAAUCCAUUUUUGUUUCUUCUUAGUUCUUCUGACAAUUUGGCAGCUCUAUGCAAUCAUCAUCUUCGCUUGAAAGGUCUAGAUGAAGACGUUUAGCAAUAAGAUUCUGCAAUCUAUUAAUGCUGAAAUCUUGAGACACAGUCACCCACCAAACAUGAUCACAAAUAUCUGGUUUUGUAGAAGCUCAUUAUGGAUAUGUUGCAGUAUUGUGUUUUACCAACUCCCCCAUCCCAUAAAUGCCAAUGGUUGAGACUUCAUCCAUUAACAAAGACCAUAUCACCUUCGUAUUCUCUUCGAAUGCUUGACCCACUGGCUUUGUAGAGCUAGUAGGUAAUGGAACUCCUCUAGUCUUGUUGUAUUUCAGACUUUCAGAAGAUCUAGCUCCAGCACCAACCUGCACUGAUCUUCGACUAUUCUCCACUUGUUCUGUCCUCGGUCUGCUCUCGAGUGCCCCUUCGGAAACUCCAUCUUCUUGUGCUCUCAUUCCGGUCAUGCUUACUACGUCGUUUCCUGCUAUUGCAUGUGAAGUAAUCCUCUCUUCCCCUACUCCGGGUUCUACAACCUGAACUUCUCUUUGUACCCUUCCAAUUCCUCCUUCCAUAUUUUCAAUCUCAAUGUUUUGUUCUUGUGGACAAGUUGAAAUUCCCAAAUCAUUAACAUUGACUGAACUUGCUGUGCUUUUAUGUCUUUUGUUGCCACCACACAUAGCUAGAAAGGCUGCUUCUUGAACUUCUGUAGUCACCCCAGGACAAAUGGUAACAUUAUGCCCUCUCUCUCUUGAUAAAUGCCAUUUGAUCCUCGAAAUGGAAGUAUCCUUGGCAUAUGUAUGUGGACAAAAUUUACACUUCAUCCUACCAUCAGCCCUAUAUUCAACAUAAUUCCAAAACGGAUCAUUUGAUCCAACCGUUUCGACCUACAGAAAAAAAGGGGGGGUCAAAAUAUAGAAUAAAAAUCAGUCAAAAUAAAGAAUAAAAAUCCUAUCUGGAUGGAUGAGAAACUACUUCAGUUCUGUUACCCCUAUUUUGCUAUUAAAAUUGAUAGUUAGUUUAUAGCACAAUCAUAGGGGGAAAAAAGACGACAAUAAUUCAGUUAGACUUCUUACUUGUUGAGUAUUUAAACCCCUAUUUUGACUUUGCAAGGAAGUGUCAGGGCCAGGAUUUGAGGCAUUUGGCGUAGCAGUUUGAUUUUGCAAUCCUCGGACUUGGAGGUUAUCCAUCUGUGACCUAUAUAUAAAUGAAGUGAUCAUAUUAUAAAACCUUUCCAUAAUUGGUAGUCUCUCUUAAGCAGUAAAAGUUAAUGGUAUUAAAACACAACAGCUGGAAGUCAAUCAGUACCUAGGCACGAAGUUCUCUUGUUGCACUUGUCUAUGUUAGGAAUUACAGCAGCUUGAUCGACUUGUCCUUGAUUAGAAAAAUAUUGACUCCUGAAUCCAAAUCAUUUGCAAACAAUAUGUUUAGUUGUUUGGUUCAUGUUCAAGCUUGAUGUUUCUUUCCUGAUUGAAAAACUAACUUUUUUAUAUAGAAAAUACUAAACAAGAAAAUUGGAGCAGGAAAAGAAGGUCCAAAUGAGUAUUGGAGCACUGAUGCCUGAAUAUUAAUAUUCAUAGUUAAACUUAGAACUGUUAUUCUAACUUGGUUGAUUUUCUAGCCAUUAUGUGCACACAAAAAGAGAGAGAGAGAGAGCUCAAAAAGACUUGAAAGAUCCUCGUCAAUUUUGGUCAAGUUUGUUGUUUUCAUGAUUAAAAAAGUGUAUAUUCGAGGUUAAUACCAUCGAUUCAUCGCAGGCACAUGAUUGCUCAUAAUUGGUAACUGAUAAUCAGUCCAUUGUUGGUCCCUAAAUUAGCAACAUUUGUUAGUGAUUUCUUUAUACAUAUGCAUAAUUCUUUGCUAUUAAUCCACUAAGCAUUUGAUAUCAUUUUAGCUUACCUCAAAGGCAUUGAUGGUCCAGGCAGCAUGGGAUUGACACAUUGAGGAUCACGUAAAUUAGGAUUAGGCUGAUACCUAUAUUCAAACAUAAUGAAUUCACUGAUAAGUACAACAACAAGAGGAAGAAGAAGAAGAAGUUAAAUAAUGAUUGAAAAACUUUUUUUUUAAAACAGAAAAUACUAAAAAUGAAAAAUUGGAUACCGGGGAGGAGGAAAAGAAGGUCCAUGUUGAUUGAAGCCACCAUGUUGUGAAGUGGUUGCGUUCGGUGUCAUAUAGCCAUGUCCCGGCUGAGGUUGAUGAAUAAAGGAAUUAUGAUGCCUUGAUGGAGUUUGAGGCCAAUUUGGUUCAUUUUGAUUGAUCCAUGAUGAUGAUGUUCCAUCCAAACCUCCCAUUGUUGUCUGUUUGUUUAACAAUAAACAAUUAGAAGAUGCUCGAGAUAAAUCGAUACACUAAACUUUUUGUAUAACACAAACACUUGCUAAUUCAAUAAACAUUGUAGCAAAUUGGAGUAAGCAUGAGUACUCACCAUGGUUUCAGGAAAUGAAGUUGGAAACUGAGUUGUACUAUCGUUGAUCACAUUGUUCCAUCCAAACCUCCCUUGAUCAUUGCCUUGGUUGACUGGAACCUCCGAUGCCGGCCUGCUUCCAUGGAAUAAUAGGAUAAACUGAAGAAUAACUAAAUUGCAAGCAAUCAUCUUCUGAUAAAAUAUGCUUAAGAAUGACGUACGAGAGAAGCUCAGAUAUAUUGAAUGUAUCAUCUUCUGAUUGAAAAUCCAGCUGAUCCCAUGUCAUGUUGUCAACCUCCUCCAUAGAAGAUGGUUGGAACCCUUCCAUCUGACCAGAAAAGAUCAGAAAAGACAAAAAAAACUGGGGUCUAAAAAGAACAGAAAGCACAGAUCAGAAAAGAAUAUAUAUAUCCCAUUGUUGUCUGUUUGUUUAACAAUAAACAUUUUGAAGAUGCUCGAGAUAAAUUGAUACACGAAAACAUAAAACUUUUUGAUCCAAUGGGUGAUACAAACACUUGCUAAUUCAAUGGACAUUGUAGCAAAUUGGAGUAGGCAUGAGCACUCACCAUGGUUUGAGGAAAUGAAGGUGGAAACAGAGUUGUUUGUUGAAGACUAUCGUUGAUCACAUUGUUAUCCACCACCAUGUUCUGUCCAUCUUGAUCAUUGCAUAAUAUGGAGCUUUGGUUGCCUGAAACCUCCGGUGGCGACCUGCUUCCAUAGUCAGUAACAUUAUUGUUUCUUGGGAAUAAUAGGAUAAACUGAAGAAUAACUAAAUUGCAAGCAAUCGUCUUCUGAUAAAAUAUGCUUAAGAAUGACGUACAAGAGAAGCUCAGACAUGAAUGCAUCUUCUAGUGAUUGAAGAUCGAACGGAUUCGAUGUCACGUUGACAUCAUCCUCCAUAGAAGAUUGUGGGAACCCUUCCAUCUGACCUCAAGUACAAGACGAUUAGUAUGUACUGAGGUGGAAAAAGAACAGAAAGCUCAUAUCAGAAAAGAAUAUAUAUAUUAAAAAAAUAAUUAUGACUUGAUUAUUUGUUAAAGAAAUAAGGAUGAAAAAUAGGAAAUAUAAAUGUUGUUGUUAAUGAUUUAACCCUUUGUAUUUAAAGCUAAAUUAUCAUACUCAAAUUCUAUCCUAAAACUCUAGAAUGAUAGAUAGAAAGAUGCAGAAGAGGAUAACUGUUGAAGAAAGCAGGAGAAGGAAGGUAGAAGAGCUGAUUGUUUUGACGGGGUAAACAAAAACCUCUUUCAAGUUUCAAGUCCUAUUUAUUCAUAAUUUGGGGAGCAAAACAAAUGCAAGAUUAUUUUUGUUAACUACAAAAAUCAAUUCCCUCUAUUUUAACCCUUAGUUACACUUUAUAAAACACACACAAAAAUAAUAAUAGGAUAUUGUUAAUUCAUUGAAUCAUUGUAAGAAAAAAAAAAGUUGAAAAAUAUUGAAAAAAAAUAAAUGGCAGUCCCAUUAAUUGGAAAAGAAAAGGGUGAAUCUAAAAGGAAGAGUUAAAAACAGCAAAGAAUCUUGAAAAGACGAAAACAAUGAAUUCAGUAUUAAUUUAGUAUGAACACCACAAGGCAUGGAUUAUGAAAUCCGCGAAAAAGAUCGAUUAAUUUAUCAUGGAUUACUUUAAAGAUUCAGACAAGAUGAAUGACAAAUAAUUUACCUGGAUUCAAGAUGUUCUUCAAGUGCUAGCUGGUUUGCUUGAGCAGUGAUCAGCCAAAAGAAAAGGAAGAGAAAUCACAGAUCACAGAAGAAUAUAUGGUUUAGAAAAAUAAUAAAGUUGCAGCAUAAAUAAAUCUAGUUCGCACUGAUCAUGAGAUGGGGAAAGGAAAAUAGGGAAUUCUACAAUGAGAUGAGAUGUGGGAGAGAAUGUUACAGCAGCAAGGUCGCCUCAAUAAUAAUAAUUAAUUAACGUAUUGUUUGAUAGGAAGGAAGUUGCCAGGAAGAUACAGAAAGUUAACGUGUGGACCCGCCCCAAUGUUGACACUUCGAAGAAGCUGCCAAGAAAAUGUAAACACAUGAAAUUUUCAAAAAAAAUGGUAUAUUUAUAAUUUAUUCAUGCUGUAAAUUUUUUAAAAAAUAUAUUUUUUAUUUAGAAAUACAUUAAAAUAAUAUUUUUUAUUUUUUUAUUUUUUAUAUCAUAAUAUCAAAAUAAUUAAAAAAAAAUCAAAAUUUUUAAGUUUACUUGACCAUGAAAUUUGCACAGCUAGGCAGAUAGCAGAAGGCUAGUGGAACCACUGCUGGGCUAGAAAAUGAAUGUUGCCGUUUUUCAGUUUACUAGAGAGAGGGCAGAAAGCCUUAAUUAGAAAAUAACUUCAUAUUCUUGGGGUAGAAACUCCACGAACGCAAUUAAGCAUUUGCUUCAAACAAAAAAGAGGGAGCUUCAGUGCAGUAGGAAACUUCAACAUCUAUUAUAAAAAUUGUGUUUGUUAAGGCUGUGUAAAUUAUAUAUUUAUUAAAUUUUAUUUUUUUAUUAAAAAUUAUUAUUAUGUUUUUAGAUCAUUUUGACGUGUUAUAUCAAUAAAAAAAAUAAAAAAAUAUUAUUUUAAUAUAUUUCUAAGUAAAAAAUACUUUAAACUAUAACCGCUACCACAAUCACAAACAUACUUUUAUGAUUUGCUAUCCAGUCUGCACAUGAUUUUUCUAUUAAUAAAAAGAUCGUGUUUUUUGGUUGUUGAAAAAUUAUCAAUCAAUAACUUUUUAUCCUUUUCCAAGCUUUUUAGUGAUUUUUUUAAUCUCAAAUUCAUGAACUAAAAAGGUAGUAGCGUGAAGCCUCGCCAAAAGCCCAAGCCCACCAACAUCACCCCCAGCAGAUUGGAAAAAUGCUCAUUACCAUUCCGGAAAAACACACCUUCGCUACUAUGGUAUACUAGAAAGUGGAAAUAAAUCGAUAUUAAUCAUCAAAUAAAUCGUUAGCAUAAACCAAAAAUAAAUAAAUAAAUUGUUCAUGCUACUCCAUCUUAUUGAUGGGAAUGGCUUUUGACCAGCAUACAUACGACUCUGCUAAAAUUAUCUGACAAAUUAUCAGGCUUAUAAAAAAACUUAAUAAAAUCAGGAAAAAAAAUCAUUUUUAUUCAAUAAAAUGGAGAAGAAAACUCAAGUAAUAAAUGUUCAAUUCAUUUUUUGGCCCAGAGGUUUUACAGUUCCAUUGAGGAAAAAAAAGAAAAAAUCAAUAUAGUAUUUUCAGGUUAUGCUACUUUCUAGUUUCAGUAUUAAAUUUAGUAUUUUCAGGUUUAGAAACCAAAACUGCCAUAUUCAUACUCUCUCUUAAACACUUUAAAAAUGUGUGUAGAUUUAUAAUAGUGAAUGGAUUUAUUAUUUUAUUAGGUUAUUUUAAUGAUAAAUCAAUAUAGUAUUUUUUUAUUUUUUGGAUUUUCAUCUUGGAGAAACUCGAUAAGGAUGAAAAUAUAAUAUUAAUCAAACUUCAAAUUAUAAUUAUUUAUCUAUCCAGUUAAAAAAAAGGUACAAAGGGACGAAGGAUUAUUUCAAUAUUAACUAAUAAGAAUAUCCUUGUUGAUUUAAAGGACUAUUUUCAUCAAUCAUAUCGAAAAUGUUUGAAAGAAUUGAAUAUUAUUGAAUACGAGCAAAUUUAAGGUUACAAUCAAUUAGCCUUGAAAAUUGAAAAACUCUACAAAGGGACGAAGGACUUCCUUUGCAUCAGGAUGCUCCCACUCCACUACUCUCUCCCACCAGUCUUCUUGAUAUGCCUUGAUUUCUUUAAGAGAAGGGGGAGGGGAUGGCUGCCCAUUUUCAAGCAACGGAAGACAAAUUGGCAUCCUCUUCAGCUUCUCACAAGCCAUUACACUAAUAUCUUCAAGAGAAUUGCAAAUCAGUUUUGCACUGCAAAUGCUUUUCAGUUCUGGUAACAAAUACAAUUGCAGAGUUAUUAACUUUGGGAGAAUGACUUCCGGGAUGGAAUGGGAGGUGCUGCUUUCUUCAUCUGUUGUUCCUAUUAUCUCCUCCAUUUUCUCACAAUCAUUAACUUCAAUCCUUUCCAGGUUUACGAGGUUUGGCAGCAACACAAGCGGGAACAACUUCUUCAUACUUUUACAGUCAAAACAAUAAAACUCUUUAAGACCAGAAAACGUACCGUUACAUGAUGGCAAUCGUGGUGGAGCAGAGAAGAACCAAGAAGAUGAAACCAAGCUCUCCAUUUUAAAAAUCACGCCUAUGCUACUUUCUAGUUUUAGUAUUAAAUUUAGUAUUUAAAAAAUAUGUUUAUGAAUAUGGCAAUUUCAGGUUUAGAAACCAAAACUGCCAUAUUCAUACUCUCUUGGACAUUUUAAAAAUGUGUGUAGAAGAAUACUUUCAAUGAUGAUUUAUAAUAUUAAGUUACUUUAAUGAUAAAUCAAUAUAGUAUUUUUUUUUAUUUUUUGGAUUUUCAUCUUGGAGAAACUCAAUAGGAUGAAAAUAUAAUAUUAAUCAAACUUCAAAUUAUAAUUGUUAAUCUAUCGAGUUAAAAAAAAUAUGACAAUUCAGUAGUCUUUAAUGAAAUAAAAAAAAUGAAAAAUGUUAUUUAUGUAAUUGUAAGCAUACUAUAUUAUAUUAGUUUACAAAGGGACGAAGGACAUCCUUUGCGUUAGGAUGCUCCCACUCCACUACUGACUCCCACCAUUUUUUUGGAUAUACAAAGAUUUCUUUAAGAGAAGGGGGAGGAGAUGGCUGGCCGUUUUCAAGCAACGGAAGAUAAAUUGGCAUCCUCUUCAGCUUCUCACAACUUUCCUACCAAAGAUUAUAUUACAAGAGACAACAAGUUGCUGUACACCUCUAUUUCGCUUUUCUUUUGUCUAGCGCUGCAUAUAAUUAAAAUCUUCAACAAAAGAAUCAAAAGCUAAAAAUUAUUUUAAAAAAAAACAUUUUCUGACAAUAAUGCCAAACACUUUAACUCGUGGACCCACCCCAUUGUUGAAACUUUGAAAAAGCUGACCUGAAAAUGUAAAAGAGCCUGAAGCUUAGCUUCAAGAGCUGUAAGUACUAUGCUAGGAAUGAUGCAUCGCACUCCUCCCCCAUCAAUGUCAUUAUCUGAUCCACUCCAACUUCCAUUCCCUAAAAAUUUAACGAAGAAUAGCAUUAGCAAUAAAAAUAGUGCUUAGGGGUACUGAAACAACCGUUAAACCUAUGGUUGGAAAUAGAACUCAGGACUCAAAACCUACAGUACUUUGAGAAUUUGUACACGUUAAACGUUUAUAAGAAAAAAAUGUGGAGUCCAUUGAAAUAAAACCACAACUACCUUGAAUAUCUACACAAGUUUUUCCUAAUAAGAAUUCUGGUAGAAAGCCUUGAAUAUGUACAAAAAAAAUUGCUAAUAAGAAUCAUAGUAUUCUAGAUGAUAAUACCUAUUUGUAAAGUCCAUACAUAUUCCUUAUCUCAAAUUAAUUAUGACAUGGUAACAUCAUGAUUGAUGAAUUUUUGAGUCGAGUUGUAUUUGCUGCGUGUUUUUCCUACUAGUUAAGGUUUUUGUUACGAUGAUGUUCUUAACAUCAAAAGGAUUUUUUACUAUAUAUCCACGAAUGAUACAAAAAUCUAUAGUUUUUUAUAAAAUGAAUUCCUGAACCUAGUCGAAAAACCGUGGAAAAAACAGUUUAAGGAUUCCAACCUAACACAUGAAUGAGGAGAGGCUAGUGAUGAUGGAUCAUAUUCCAUAACUUUAAUCAUGUCGGAAUCGGAAUUAAAGUUAGCUAGCUAACCUCUGUGGCCCCCGAUCGAAUGCUGAAAGUUUCUGCUUCCAUUUUCCAAAGGGGAAAGGGUGCAGCAAGCGAUCACAAACCAACCAGAUGUAUAAAACGAAACAACUGAUCUUCAUUGUAUUUUAUUAUAUACAAUCAUUGACCUUUGAUUUAUAUUUAUAUAUAUUUUUUAAUAUUACAAAAUAUUUUAACAACACUUACAUGUUUAUUCUUUAGUGUUAAGAAAAUUAAAUGUAUACAAAAUGUGGUUCAAAUAAUUCAAAUUGUAUUUACAUAGUUAAAUGUUUUUCUCUUUUAUAAAUCCAUUGUUGGAUUUGAAAUUUAUAGCUUAUUUUAUAACUCAAAAUAAAGAUUUGGUUUGGUUUUUAAGUUUUUUAUUUUUAUAAAAUUAGUUGAAAAAGAGUCAAUCGGGUAAUGUCGGCUUGGCUCGAAUCUGCAAAAUCAAAGACACAAAUGAAUAAUAAAUUUCAAUAUUCAUAGUUGAAGACCAAUGGAGAAAAAUCUAACUCUGACCUCAAGCAUGUUUGGAAACGCAAUACAAAUCGUGUUUCAUCAUAAUUUAAUUUUGUUUGCUUAAGAUUAUUUUUUUUAUGUUUUAAAAUUAUUUUAAUGUGUUGAUGUCAAAAUAAUUUAAAAUAAUAUUAUUUUAAUAUAUUUUUAAAUAAAAAAAUUUUAAACCACAACCGUUAUCAUGCACAUCCUAAUCCUGAAUCCUGAUACUUUUUACAGAACUCUUAAUUUUCAAGAGAGCCUUAACCAUUCCUUUAUGCAAGUGUACGCUUUGCCAAACAAUCCUUUAGGAAAAUGGGUUGCCCUCCCUCCGACGACUUGCGAUAACAGGCCAGGACUAAUUUUGACUCUUCGUUGCAAGUAAUUUUAAUAUUAAUUAAUAAAAAUAUCCUUGUUGAUUUAAAGGACUACUUUCAUCAUUCAUAAAAGAAUAAUAAUUUAAAAAGAAAAAAAAUUCAAAGUUUUUGAAAAACGUGUGCUUUAACAAUGUUUUUAAAUAUUAGAUAUGUGAUUAAUUAAGAGCACGUGAUUGCUUUUGUUUUUAGUUGUUUUUUAAAAAAGAUAAAUAUAUUUUUUUAAUGCUUUUUUUAUAAUUUAAAUAUAUUGAUAUUAAAAAUAAAAUAAAUAAAUUUUAAAAAAUAAAAAACAAUUAUUGAACAUGAAGCGAAUCUGAUUACGUUACAAUUACUAAUAGGAAAAAAAUUAGAAGACAAAUUAAAGGUUUUCAAUUGUUGCCGUUACCAAUCUGUUGCUGAUUAGAGGCACACGCAGUCAAAGACUCCAUCCUUACUUUUAAUGAACAAAACCUAGUGCUAGUUUUGGUGGCUAGUGUUUUUCCGUGCUGGAUUAAUUUUUUAAAAAUAUUAAACCAGUAAAUUAAUAUACUUGAGUUAUUAUAAUAAACCUGUAAAUUACAUUACUCUUAUAAAAAAAUAUAAUAAAAAUAAAUAAAUUACAAAGUUGAAUUUUAAAUCAGCCCACAAAUGAAAUAAAUAAAUAAAUAAGACAUUGAAUUACUUAUUAUAAUUUACAAUGAAAUAAGUGUGAAUAAAUAGUAGUUCUCCUAAGUCUCUUAGCUAUUCUUUUAAUGAAAAUUAAUAACUGUAUAAUAACUUCCUUGUGGAUGCUCUAUCGUUGCUAAAUUAAAACAUUUUUUUUUAUUUACAACUAUGUGAAACUUUUUUAAAAUAAAAAUAUUUUAAAAGAUAAUAUUUUAAAAAAUAUUAUUAUUUUAGUUUAAUUUUUUUAUAUAAAAAAAAUACCAUCAUUUUAGUUUUUAUAAAUAAAUAAUAUGAUGUGGUUUUGUUUUUUACCCAGGUUAAUCAUUUAAUAUGUGAGUCAACCAGUGCGUCUCUUAGCUAUUCGUUAGUAGUUAAAAUAUUUUUUUAUUUUUAAUAUUAAUAUAUUAAAAAAUAUUAAAUAAAUAUUUUUUUUAAAUAAAUAGAUUUUUAAAUGUACUCAAACAUAAUUCUAAGUACAAAAAUAAAUUAUAUUUUGAUUGCAAGCAUAACAAUCUUGGCUGUGCCGUUGUUGUUUGGACUUUGAGAAUGAUAAAACAAAAGAGUUGGAAUAAUUGGAAAUCUGAACAAUUUGGGUACCCUUCACUGUAUUAGCCAUUCCUUUCCUUGCCUGCUCUCCUUCUUUUCUUUUUUUUCUUUUCUUUUUUCUCUGGCGCAAUUGCCAAAAAAUACCCCUUUUUCUAAAGGAGGCAGCCCUCCUUUUUCAUCACGUCUCCAUGAUCCCACACGUUUUCAUCAAAACUUAAAUUAUAGGACUUCUUAGGCAGCCACGUACAUGCUUUAGGAGUUUUUUUUUCGAAAUCCUAAUUAGAGGCUAAUUUGUAGCCCUUUAAGAUACCUUUCCAACGCGUCAUGAAUCACAGCAAUUUAAUAUGUGAGUAGAAAGUUGUGCUUUAGUGUAUCCAGGUUUUAGUGUAUCCAGGCUGGUUCCAAGUGAAUUUCACGGCUCCUUUGAAUUUGAUUGGGUCUUGAGUUGCUCUUCUAUAAACUCUGAAAUCAAAUAUAAAAACCUGUUUAAGAAUAUAUCAAAGUAAAUAGAAAUUCAAUUAAAAAAUACACAUUAAUGUCUAUUAUUUGUAUUCACAUUUUAGCAUUUUAUUUCAAUAAUAGAGCAUUUAAGGGUGCUUAGAGUGCAAUAUCAAUUAUUUUUUAAAAUAUAUUUUUUAAUGAAUACAUUAAAAUAAUAUUUUAUUAUUAUUUUAAAAAAAUAUUUUUAAUAUCAACACAACAAAACAAUUUAAAAACACAAAAGAGUUAAAAGACAUCUACCUUGUUUUCUCUGUUGGUACAUCGUAAGAUUCUGAGCAUAUUUAUUUAUUUUUAUUUUUAUUUUUAUUUUUAUUUUAAUAAUAGUCCUGUUAUUUCUACCGUCAGGAAAUCAAAAGAUUCUGAAGUCCAUAUUUAGAUAAAUUAGCAGAAAAGACAAAAAUCCUAUAAACUAGCACAAUAAAAUCAUACACAGAGAAGCAAAAGCCAGAAACAAGCUACCUCAAUUCCUGCUCCACCUGGCUAAGAAAUGCAGCGUGCCCACUUGGAAUUAUGCAUCGUCCAAAUUCCAGGGCAAAUAAUUGGUUGGAAUUGUUUUCUGAGGAGUCAUCUCAAAAUUGAAAAAUAAAAACAGAAAAUAGAUCUUCAACACAAUCAUGCUUUUUAUUUAUUAUAAAUAUAAAAUAAAGUUGAAGUGAAGUUGGGUCCAAUCUUUAAAUGGUCCAGACAUUAUUGUUAGAAUGCGACAGUCCAAUCUUAAAGGUUUUCAACACAAUCAUGCUUUUUUCCUUGUAGCAUGUGCCAUGUCUCAAGCUUCUGUCAUCCAGGAAUCAGGCUAUUGGGGUUUGAUUAAAUUAUCUGUUACUAAAAAUAAAAUAAAAUCCUCUGUAAGGUAAAGGUAAUUAAUUACUCAAUUAAUCCCUAAUUAAAUUAGUUUUCAGAUUGUUUUUCACAAAAUUUCUAAGAAUAAAAAUAUUUUAUUAGAUGUCUUAGCUGAAUUCUAAACCAGCCUAUAAUCAAAUAAACAAAAACAAUUUUUUUUUUUAAAAAGGGCAAAACAUCUUCCUUGUGGAUGCUCUAUGGUUGCUAAAUUAAAACUUUUUUUUUAUCUACAACAUGAAACUUUUUUAAAAUAAAAAUAUUUAAAAAGUUAAUAUUAAAAAAAAACAUUAUUAUUUUAGUUUUUAUAAAUAAAUAAUAUGAUGGGGUUAAUCAAUUAAUUUGUGAGUCAACCGGUAAACUAUACUUUGAAAUACGUCUCUUAACUAUUUGUAAGCUUUCCAUUCAUUCCUAGUUAAAUAUUUGUUUUCCUCUUUAAAAUAUAUAUUUUUUUAAUAUUAAAAUAUUAAAAAUAUUAAUUUAAUAUAUUUUUUUAAAUAAUUUUUUUUUAAAUGCACUCAAAUAUAAUUCUGAGUACAAAAACAAAUUAUGUUUUGAUUGCGGGCAUAACAAUCUUGGUAGUAAGUACCAUGAUUCUUUCCAAUUGAGUCAAAUUUAGGACUUUUUUUGGCAGCUACGUACAUGUUUUAGGAGUUCUUUUUAUUAAAUCAAUAUUAUAGUAAAAAUAAAUAAAUCAAUACAGAUAAAUAAAUGAACUAAAUAUAAUCAAACAAUUAAUCCAUUUAACAGAAAAAACAUUACUGAAGCCAUAAACUACAUUAAUCUCUUUUCUUUUCUUGUUUUUUUUUUUUACUUUUCUAGUGUAAUUUCCUCAUUUCUUAGCUUGUUUGGCAGUGUAGUUACUGUUACUUUUUAAAUAACUUUUCGUCCCAAAAUACAUGUAAAAAAAAAAUUUAUUUUUGACAUCAGCACAUCAAAGUGAUUUAAAAAUAUAUUAAUUUAAAGUUAAUAAAUAAAUAAAAUAUUUUUUUCAAAAAUAUUUUUAAAAUAAAAAAAAUAUAGACCCAUGUCUCCAUGGUACCCGUGUCCCACACGUUUUCAUCAAAAACUUAAAUUUUGAGGACUUCUUUCGCAGCCACGUAGAUGCUUUAGUUCUUCUUCUUAUUUGAAAUCUUCAUAGGACUAUUUUUUAAGCCGGGUAACCAAUAUAUGAAUACUGCAGUGGUGAUGAUUUAAAUUAUUUUUUAUUUAAAAAUAUAUUAAAAUAUUUUUUUAUUUUUAAUAUUAAUAUAUCAAAAUAAUCUAAAACUAUAAAAAAAUAUUUAAAAUAAAUCAAAUUUUUUUAAAAAACAAGGGUUCCCAAACAAGAUAACUUGAGUGCAUCCAGGUUAUUUUAAAAAAAAAAAUAAUUCUUAAUUUCAGAGUGAUUUUCACGGUAUGGAAAGGAAUAUGAUUAUUGUUAUUUUUAAAAUUUUUAAUGUUUUUUUAUUUAAAAAUAUAAUAAAAUAAUACAUUUUCAUAUAGAAUAACUCAAAAAUUAAGACCAAGAGUUCAAUCUUCACAAACUUUUAUAUGUAUUAAGGCAGAGAUUUGUGUAAUUAGAUUUAUCAAGUUUACUUAAUUAAGAUGGAAUGUUUAUGACUAUAUACUUAUCAUGAUAAACUUUUAUUGAUAUUUCUAUUUUUAUUGACAGUAUAUGGUGUGCGUUUAUUUAAGAGGUACAUCAGUCAAUGAGUUUGGAGUACAAUGAACGCCAUACCCCUUUCUUUCAAAAAAAAUUAUGACAAUUCAAUAGUCUUUAAUGAAAUAAAAAAAAUAAAAUAUGUUAUUUAUGUAAUUGUAAGCACACUAUAUUAUAUUACCUUACAAAAAAACGAAGGACAUCCUUUGCAUAAGGAUGUCCCACUCCAUUACUGACUCCCAUCAUUCUUUUGGAUAUCCAAAGAUAUGUUCAAGAGAAGGGUGAGAAGAUAGUUGGCCAUUUUCAAGCAACGGCAGACAAAUUGGCAUCCUCUUCAGGUUCUCACAAUUCGAUACAUAAAUAUAUUUAAGAGAAUUGCAAAUCAAUUUUACAUUGCAAAUGCUUUUCAAUUCUGGUAAAUGAGACAAUCUCAGAUAUCUUAACUUUGCGAGAAUGACUUCCGUGAUGGAAUUGGAGGUGCUGCUUUCUUCAUCUGUUGUUCCUAUUAUCUCCUCCAUUUUCUCACAGUUAAUAAUAGUAAUCUCUUCCAGGUUUACAAGGUUUGGCAGCAACACAAGUGGAAACAACUUCUUCAUACUCCUACAAUCACGGCAAUAGAACUUUUUAAGACCAGAAAACAUACCAUUAUAUGAUGGCAAUGGUGGUGGUGCAGAGCAGAACCAAGAAGAUGAAACCAAGCUCUCCAUGCUAUCGCAAUCGCCAAUUUCGAUGAGCUCCAGUUCAAUUGCAUUCUCUAAUGACAAAACAUCACAUAAACUUCUUGCAUCGAUGCUUUCACAAACCAGUCCUUGAAUGCCACUUAAGAACAUGACUUGAAAAUCUCCAUCUCUGCUGAUACUCAAAUUACCUAACCCAACUGUUUUACUUGGAAAAUCAUUGUUUGGCCAAAAAUCUUCACCCACCUCUCCUACUAAAAAUUUAUAUGUGCUUAAUGAUUGAAUCCCAUCUCGAGAUCUGAGAUACUCCACGAAGUCAGGGAGACCUUCGAAAUGGCAUUCCAAAGUUUCUAAAUUUCUGAAGGAUCCUACUUCCUUUCCUUUAACUGUUAUCGGAGCAUAUCUUUGAUCAGGUAACGUUUCCUCUAGUACAAAGACUUGCAGGUGAGAGAGUUUUGGUAAUAUCCCACUAGGAAACUCCUUUUCACCACAUCCAUUCAUUCUAAGAUACCUCAGGUUGGUUAGGCAUUCCAUUCCUUGUGGCAUCUUUUCAAGUGUAGUGCAAGAGAGAUCCAACCUUCUCAGUUCUCUAAGCUUCUUUAAUGAUGGAACAUGUUUUAAUUCAUCACAAUAACUGAGCAAUAAUGCAGUGAGACUCACCAAAUCAAAGACAGAGUCUGGCAAAUUUUCAAUGCGUGUCCCAGACAGAUCGAGGACCUUGAGCCUAUGCAUUUGCUUGAAAAAUGAAUCCGCAACAAAUCUCAACUCGUCAUUAUCAUGCAGAAAUAGAGUUGAUAGAUAGGGACACCUUGGUGAAUAGCUGGAAGGAAUUUCUUCGAUCUUGUUUUGCAUUAGUGAGACUCUUGUGAGAUUCUCCGUCCACUCCUCUAUCAAUAUAUUCUCCUUUAUUUCAUUUCUUUAAUAGCUGUCAGUGUUGUCAGUAUAUUCUUCUUUUCUUAUUCUAUUUCUUUCAUAGCUGUCACUAUAUCCUUCUUUCUUUGUUUAAUUUCUGUUAUAGCUGUAUAUCCCUUGAUUCUCUCUAAAGAUCUACAUUAUUGUCUAGGCCUAGUAUUAAAGUAUCUGAUUAUGUUUAUUAGAUCCUAGAAUUAAGGGAUUUGAUACUUCUUGAUGUAUAUAUAUAUUGUAACUCUCUUAGUGAAAGAUACAGAAAACAUUUCAGAAUUUCUCUUGUAUUAUCUUGUAAUGGUAUCAGAGCCAAAAUUCUGAAAUCAAUUCAUCUUGUGUCUCGUUCCUUGUCUGGUUCUUCUAUUCUGUUUUUUUUCUUGGACUUGAUCUUUUGGUUCUUGUUUCUAGUUAAAUCAUGUCUCUAGAACGAUCUGAACAUUUUCUUGUUCGAUUUACUGGAAAGAACUAUUCUGCCUGGGCUUUCCAGUUUCAGAUUUUUGUCAAGGGAAAGGAAUUAUGGGGUCAUAUUGCUGGGACAAUUCCUGCACCUGAUAGUGAGCAGGAAAAUGAGAAAUAUGUGAAAUGGGAGGUGAAGGAUGCUCAGAUUAUGUCUUGGAUCCUUGGAAGUAUGGAACACUCCAUGCUUCUCAAUCUCAAGCCUUACAAAUCCUCUAGAGAAAUGUGGGAUUACCUGAAGAAAGUUUACAACCAAAGCAAUAUAGCACGAAGGUUCCAAUUGGAACUCGAGUUGGGUCAACUCAGUCAAGGCAGCAUGUCAAUACAAGAGUUUUAUUCUUCCUUUGUAAAUCUUUGGGCUGAGUACAUAGACAUUGUGUAUGCAAGUGUACCUCUUGAAGGACUUAUUGUUAUUCAAAGUGUGCAUGAGACGAGCAAGCGUGAUCAGUUUUUAAUGAAGUUAAGAGGGGAAUUUGAAGCAAUCAGGUCCAACCUGAUGAAUAGAGAACCAGUUCCUUUCUUGGAUAUUUGUGUAGGAGAGCUUCUCAGGGAAGAACAACGAAUCAUUACACAAGCUGUCUUGGAGCAGAAAGCUCAAAAUUCUACUCCAAUUCCUGUUGCAUACACUGCUCAAGGGAGGUCUAAAGGAGGCAGGAAUAUGUCAAAUAUCCAGUGCUAUAGCUGCAAAGGAUUUGGGCACAUUGCCACUACUUGUACUAAAAAAUUCUGCAACUAUUGUAAGAAAACAGGGCAUAUCAUCAAAGACUGCUCCAUCCGGCCUUCAAAGAAAUCUGAAACUGCCUAUAAUGUCUCGGUUGGUUCCUCAAAUACUCCUAGUCCUGGUCAGUCCUCUAUCACCCCUGAAAUGGUCCAACAAAUGAUAGUUUCUGCCCUUUCUGCUUUAGGCCUUUCAGGUAACCGAAAUUCUGUUCCUAAGCCUUGGUAUUUUGAUUAUGCUGCUUCCAAUCACAUGACCAACACUGCCUUACCUUUAAAUAAUGUUAAAAAAUAUAAAGGCAAUCUUCAUAUUCGUAUUGCCGAUGGUAAUCCCUUGUCUAUCACAGCUGUUGGUGAUAUUUCAGCUCUUUUGAAUACUGUCUUUGUGUCCCCUAAGCUGUCCACUAAUCUUAUAUCUGUUGGCCAAUUAGUUGACAACAAUUGUGAUGUUCAUUUUUCCAAAUCUGGUUGUUUUGUGUAGGAUCAAAUGUCCGGGAAGAUGAUCGCGAAGGGACCUAAAGUGGGACGUCUAUUUCCCUUGCUUUUAUCUCCCUCUCCUAUGUCAAAUUAUGUUGCAUGUAAUGCUGUUCAAUGUGAUAAUCAGGUGUGGCAUAGAUGUUUAGGACAUUCUAAUUCUCAUGUACUUCGAGUCUUGUUUAAAUCUGGUUUACUAGGAAAUAAAAAUUUGACUUCUUCUAAUAAUGAUAUUGUUGAUUGUGCAUCUUGCAAACUUGGUAAAAGCAAAACACUUCCUUUUCCAUUGCAUAAAACUCGCACCACCAAACCUUUUGAAAUCAUGCAUACUGAUGUUUGGGGUAUUGCACCUGUCAUUUCUCAUGAACAUUACAGAUAUUUUGUUACAUUUAUAGAUGAUUUCACUCGUUUUACUUGGGUAUAUUUUCUUCGAUCUCAAAGUGAGGUCUUCUCUGUGUUUAAAGUCUUUCUUGCCUUAGUUGAGACACAAUUUUCUGCUAAAAUCAAAAUUCUGCAAUCUGAUUCAGGGGGUGAAUAUAUGUCAAAUGCAUUUCAAUUUUCUACAGAAGCUGAGUAUCGCGCCAUGUCUGCAGCUUGUUCUGAAAUUGUGUGGUUACGUGGUCUUAUUUCUGAACUUGGGUUCCCCCCAACUGCUCCUACUCCACUUCAUGGUGAUAAUACUAGUGUUAUUCAAAUAGCUGCGAAUCCGGUCUACCAUGAACACACCAAGCACAUAGAGGUGGACUGUCAUUAUAUUAGGGAGGCCUUUACUCGAGGUGUUAUCACUCUUCCUCAUGUCAAUAUUGCUCUUCAAAUAGCUGAUGCCUUUACAAAAGCCUUGACACGCCAACGACAUCAGUUUCUCAGUCGCAAAUUGAUGUUGUUCGAUCUACCCGCAUCAAUUUGAGGGGGGAUGUCAAUAUAUUCUCCUUUAUUUCAUUUCUUUAAUAGCUGUCAGUGCUGUCAGUAUAUUCUUCUUUUCUUAUUCUAUUUCUUUCAUAGCUGUCACUAUAUUCUUCUUUCUUUGUUUAAUUUCUAUUAUAGCUGUAUAUCCCUUGAUUCUCUCUAAAGAUCUACAUUAUUGUCUAGGCCUAGUAUUAAAGUAUCUGAUUAUGUUUAUUAGAUCCUAGAAUUAAGGGAUUUGAUACUUCUUGAUGUAUAUAUAUAUAUUGUAACUCUCUUAGUGAAAGAUACAGAAAACAUUUCAGAAUUUCUCUUGUAUUAUCUUGUCAUCCUCUGCAUCUGGCAACUCUUUUAAUUGCACACCUGCUUUAACCAUGACUUGAAAGUUGUCUUGUAGUAUUUGGAUGGCCAUGUCCCUAAUCAAGUCAUGCAUCUUGACACAUCUACUACCAUCACCAUCCAUUUUAGCACUUUCCAAUAGGCAGACAUUUUCAAGUCUAUUAAGCAUCGUGUGGCCCUCAUCAAAUGCAUCUCCCCUGCUCCUCAUUCCUUUAAUUAUUCCCUCAUCGAUCAAAUAACCUAUCAACUCCUCCCUUUCAAUCUCAUGAUCUUCAGGAAAUAAUGCACAGUACAAGAGACAUUGCUUUAGUGCUAAAUCACCUAACCGAUCAUAACUAAACCUCAAAAACUUGAAUACUUCAUUGUCCCUAAAUUCUGAUUCUCUAAAUUUCUUCAAUGUAUUUCUCCACUCAUGUAGGUCAUCCACUCCUCUCAAGCUUCUUGCUACUGUAAUAAUUCCCAACGGCAAACCAGCACAUUCCUUUGCAACAGCUUUUGCAAUCCCUUCCACUUCUCGCGAAAGUGCCAUGUCACGUCCAAGUUUCUCCAUGAACAAAGUCCAAGCUUCUCCGUUAAAAAGUGGCUUAACCUUGAUUUUGCGGUGGCAAGCCAUCCGAUGACAAACCGUUUCAUAAUUAGCUUGCAUCCUUUCAACGGGACAGGAAUUCUCACUUCGUCAAGCUCAAAAUUGUUCCACAAAUCAUCUAAAAUGAGAAUCCAUUUUUGUUUCUUCAUUAGUUCUUCUGACAAUUUGGCAGCUCUAUGCAGAUCAUCAUCUUCGCUUGAAAGGUCUAGAGGGAAGACGUUUAGCAAUAAUAUUCUGCAAUCUAUUAAUGCUGAAAUCUUUAGACACAGUCACCCACCAAACAUGAUCACAAAUAUCUGGUCUUUGUAGAAGCUCAUUAUGGAUAUGUUGCAGUAUUGUUGUUUUACCAACUCCCCCCAUCCCAUAAAUGCCAAUGGUUGGAACUUCAUCAUCCAUUAACAAAGACCAUAUCACCUUCUUAUUCUCUUCAAAUGCUCGACCCACUGGCUUUAUAGAGCUAGUAGGUAAUGGAACUCCUCUAGUCUCACUUGUGUUGUAUUUAAGGCUUAUAGAAGAUCUAGCUCCAGCGUCAGGCCACACUGAUCUUCCAUUAUUCUCCACAUCCUCCUCCACUGGUUUUGUCCUCACUCUAACCAUGUUCUGCACAUCAUACAUAACGACAUCAUUGUUUACUGAUGGAGCAAAUAGUUGGUCAUAAUAUCUUCCAUGAUCAAGACACAAUGGAUCUGUUGGUUGGGAUGAAUCUCCUCGAGGCUCAUCAGCUUCAUUAAUUGAUGGCCUCUCACAAGAGCUACCUCUCUCCAGAUGCUGCACUUGUUCUGUUCUCGCUACAGUUUCAAAUCCAUCAUGCAGACGCUCCACAUCCUCAUCUUCCUGCAUUAAAUAGGUAGAGAUUUCAUUCAGCUGCUGCUCCUUUGAAAGGGCAGAGUGUAUCUGAACCCAAGUGCCAUCAACAAAUUGAUCCACUACAUCUGUUCCUUGUGUUGCUUCUCCUCUAUUCUCAUGAGCAUCAACUCUGAGUCUCCAAGGAGAGUCACUUCUAUCAACAUGCUGAGAAGAUCCUUCACCAGUGUAUUCCAUGUCAUUUGCCGCUUCUAAACGCGAAUGAAUUCUCUCAGGCCCAACACCUUGUUCCAUGCCUUGAACUCCCGCUUGCAUCCUUCCAGCAUCAUUAACAUUGCUUAAAUUUGCUAUGCCUUUAUGCCUUUUGUUGCCACCAUGCAUAGCUAGAAAGGCUGCUUCUUGAACUUCUUGAGGCACCUGACCACAAAUGCCAACACCAUGCCCUCUAUCUCCUGAUAAAUGCCAUUUGAUCCUCGAAAUGGAAGUACCAUUGGCAAAUAAAUGCCCACAAAACUUACACUUCAUGCUUCCAUCAUUCAUAUCUUCAACACAUUCCAAAACGGAUCAUCUGAUCUACCCAUUUUGUCCUAUAGAUAAAAAGGGUCAAAAUAUUGAAUAAAAAUUAAUGGAAGUAUAUUAAUUGGAAAAGGAAGGUUGAAACUAAAAUAAUAAGUUACAAACAGCAAAGAAACUAAGAAGAAAAAACAAUGAAUUCAAGGUUAACUUGGGGUCAAUUUAGUAUGAACUCCGUAAGGCAUGGAUUGUUACAACUGAGAAAGAUCAAAUUAUUUAUUUUUGGAAACUGUUGAUGAUCCUAACUCCAAAGUUUCUCAUUAUAAUUUCUACAACUUGUGUUUUCCUUGAAAGAUUCAAACCAUAGUUACAUGUGAAAAACAAAAUGAAGAAGAUGGAUUAUAAAUAAUUUACCUGGAUUCAAGAUGUGCUUCAAGUGCUGGUUUGCUUAAGCAGUAUUCAGCAAAAAAGACAAGAACAGAGACGAAUAUACGGUUUAAAAAUAAUAAGGUAGUUGCAAGAUGUUGAGCUCCAGAUCAUCAUUCGAUUCAAUUAGAAAAGGAAGCACUGAACAUCAGAAAGGCUUAAGAAAUUUGAUGAGGGAAAUCGGGAAGUCAAUGGUAUAAUGAGAUGAGAUUUGGAAGAUUAUUGUAUUGUUUGAGAAGAAGGAAGUUGCUAGGAAGGAAGCCACAAACUUUACCUGCCAAAUAUUAUAUUAUAAGAUAUGGCAAGUUGCUGUGCACCUCAAAUUUGCUUUUCUUUUGUCUAGCGCUUGCAUAUAAUUGAAAACUUCAACAAAAGAAUCAGAAGCUAAUUGCUGGCUGAGUUGAACGUGUAGACCCACCCCAUUGUUGAAACUUUGAAAAAGCUGACCUGAAAAUGUAAGAGCCUGAAGCUUAGCUUCAAGAGCUGUAAGUACUAUGCUAUGAAUGAUGCCUCUCACUCCUCCCCCAUCAAUUUUAUCUAAAUGCUGUUUAUUGCACGCUGCUAAUUGAGAAAUACAGAACUCAGUUCAACCCAGCAAGUUGUUGCGUCAGAGUUAAAACUCCAUAGCAGUCAGCACAGUCUAUGAUGAUAAAAUUGAAAACAAAACAAUGGUAAGCAUAAAAUUGAAAACUCCAUAGCUUUGAUUUUAUUUGAGCGAUGUAAUGACAUGAUGGUUUCAUGGCUCCAAAACUCCAGCAGCAACUCUAUUAGGUCUGGCAUAACAUUUGUUGACAGUGCUCGAGAUAUUUGGCUUGACCUGCAGGACAGAUUCUCUCAUCAAAAUGGUCAAUGCAUUUACCAGGUAAGAAAAAGUUUAUCUAAUCUCUCAUAAGAGAAUAAUCCUAUGAAUGUUUACUAUGGUAAGCUCAAAACUCUUAGGGAUGAAACAUUGAUUUAUGAUCCCAUUCCAUCUUGUAGAUAUGGUACCAUGAAGACUAUAUCUAAACGUUAUCAGCGUGAUUAUGUGUUCCAAUUUUUGAUGGGUUUGAAUGACUCUUAUUCUCCCAUACGGGAUCAAAUCAUGCUGCUUGACCCCAUCCCUACCAUUACUCAAGUUUUCUCUAUCAUUAAACAACAAGAACGCCAGCAUCAGCUUACCUCUAACUCCACACAAUAUGAUGACAUGGCCUUUGCCAUUAGAAAACCUCCUCAUUCACUGCCAAGUUUCCAUCACACUCUAGAUACAAAAAGGAAAGAACCUACUGCACUCAUUGCAAGAUUACAGGACACACGCUUAAAAUUUGCUUCAAAGCUGGCAAUAAUGAAGCUCCUAUAUGUUCUCAUUGCAAUUUCACUGGUCACACGGUAGAGAAAUGUUACAAGUUGAAUGGCUACCCUCCUGGUCACAAACUACUCAUUAAGUCCAGAAGUCUUAAUGUUCUUGCAGUACAGUCCAUUUCCACUCCUGCUGCCGAUGUUGCAAAUAUCAGUGACAUUCACAUUGGUUUAACCAAGGAUCAAUACAACCAACUCAUGGCUCUGCUUCCAUCAGGGGCGUCUACCACUGCUCAGACCUCAACUCGACUCCAUACCUCUCCCACUCCUCAUAUCUCUUGGUACACACUAUUGUUUAAGUGCUCACACACACAAAAAGUUUUCUUUCCAUCAUAUACCUUCGAUCAUUGAUACAGGAGCAACAAUCCAUAUGGUCUCCUGUCCCUAUUUCUUCACUACCAUUACCUCUACUGCCUCUCAUCCUGUUGCAUUGGCAAAUGGAACACAUGUUCCUGCUACACACACUGGCACAAUCCAGUUAACUCCCUCCAUUUGCCUCAAACAAGUUUUGUGUGUUCUUUCUUUUAAUUUUAAUUUAAUCUCAGUCAAGAACCUGAUGACUAAUGUUACAUGUUCUAUCGUAUUUUUCUCUAAUCUCUAUGUUAUUCAUAAUCUUUGUGUUAUUCAGGACCUUUUAUCUUGGACAACGAUUGGGAAGGGUGAAGUGAGGAAUGAACUUUAUCAUUUUGUCAACAUCAUCUCCCCUUCUCUCCUGGUCAAUACAUUAACUUAUUUUUCUACAAACUUUAUUGUAGCUUCUGUUUCGCAUAAGAGCACUACUGCCGAUUUGUGGCACUGUCGUCUAGGACAUCCAUCAUCUCCUGUUAUGUCUUUAAUCAUAGACCUUAUAGUAAACAAAUAUCAGUAUAAAACCUUGCUACGUUUGUCCCUUAGCAAAUUUUCAAUUUUCAUCGACGGCCUUUUUCCUAUAGCAAGCAACAUGCCUCACAGCCUUUUGAAAUUGUGCAUUGCGAUCUUUAGGGAUUGUCGCACAUCAAUCCGCGCGGUAUCGGCUGGUGAUUUUUUUCGUUAUGCGUUUUCUUUGCUUUGAUUGGUUCGUUGGAGUCGCCACCUAGUAAUUUAUUGAAGGCUACUAGGAAACCGAAUGUACUAGUCUUGUUAGAGAUUUGCGGGUAAGGGACUUGUUGUGGUUAGAGAAGGUAUUAGUACCCCUAACGCACCCUACCUGAGGUAAGCUGCUUCGUGAAUUUGAUAUGUUUAAAGAAGUUUCAAUAAUUGUUUUUUUCAUCGGAUAUUAGAAAUACAACUUACGUAUAAGUUAAUAAUUUUGGACCGUGAGCAAAUUAAAAUAUUAAAUUCUUCUUUAUUCUUUGCAAUUUUAUCAUAAAUAAAAACAUCCAUAAAAAAAUAAAAAAAUAAAAAUAAAAAAAACAUACAAACACACACAUACACUUUCACUAUAUUGUUUUUCUUUUCUUUUUUUGUUACAUCCACACUACAAAUAAUCAAAAUUCAAUACUAAACAAAAAAAAUUACAUCAAACAUUUUAAAAUUACAAAACAGCUCCUAAAAAAUCCAUAACAGUGCUGGGAAGCCUUCCAGAAUUGCCGGAACAGUAGCGGCGCAUUGUUCCAAGCGUGGAUUCACACGUUGCUUUGUAUAGACCUCUUAAUUUCCAAGAGAACCUUAGCCAUUCCUUUAUGCAAGUGCACGCUUUGCCAAACAAUCUCUUAGGAUAAUGGGUUGCCCUCCGACGGCUUGCCAUAACAGGCCAGGACUAAUUUCGACUCUUCGUUGGCGAUAGCAGUGAUGGGAAUGAUGACACUUCUCUCCAUCCUUGACCAUUUCAAUUUCGAGGAACUCUCCCACCAUCCCAUAAGAAAGUAGUCCUUUUUGUUUGAAGAAUUUUCCCAAUUAGUCCUUAUAUUUUAGAUAUGGUCUUCAACAUGCUUUUACAAGUUUAAUUACUCUUAAAUUGCCCUUAAGACAUUUUCUAAUCUAUCCUUUUAAUAAGUAUCUUUGUUUGAGCUAAUAAAGAUAAAAUUAUUAAUUACUUUAAAAAACUCAAUCCUACCUAAUUUAUAUAUAUAUAUAUAUAUAUAUAUAUAAAACAAUUGUUUUUAUGUUAAUUUUUUCUCAUGGUUAUCUGUAAAGAAGAAACUGUAUCGAUCUAACCAUUAACAUGUUAUUUAAUAAUUAAUUAAAUAUCAAAUCUUUUGUUUUAUUAAUUUUGGCUUAAACUAAUAAAAUCAACCCAUGAUCCUAUCAUUUGAUCAAUUUUAUUAUUUUAUUAUUAAUUAAAUUUUUCUAAACAACAUUGUUUUAAUUUUGUUUUAAUAAUUCAAAAUUCUUGAAACAAAACUAUAAUGAAUUGAUAUAUGUCGGCAUGGGUUCAUCUACCCAACCUAUAAGUCGAACUUUAGACCAGUCAUUGAACAAACUGUCUUUAUAAAUUCGAUCACCUGUAAAUAAAGUUUAAUUAGUCUAGAAACUGUUGGAUGCAAAACAUAGGCUGCAAAGUUUAAUUUUUUUGGGAUGUACAAAGCACAAAUAAUAAUAAUUUUGGAUGCAAAACAUAGGCUGCAACGCAGAUGGAGCAAGAAAUUCCACCCCAAGAAAAAUCCAAAUCAAUGAGAGGCGAAGAGUUCUUGGUGUUUCUGCCAUUAUCAAUUUUAUUUUAUUUUUCACUCUCUUCAUGUGAGUAUAUAAGCUAUCUUAGCAUUUACAAUUCAAGCCAAAAUUGAUAAUGGCAGAAACACCAAGAACUCUUCGCCUCUCAUUGAAGACCAGGUUCCUCCUCGCCGCCCACUCCUUUGGGAUUCGCGCCGCCAGCCGUUCCGACCACACCGUAAACCGCAGCGUAUUGAACAUCUUCGACCCCAAGGCCGCUGCUUCCGCCAAACCAAUCAAUGGGGUCUCCUCUUUCGACAACACUAUUGACCCUACCCGCAACCUGUGGUUCCGCCUCUACGCCCCCACAUCCACCGCCACUACCGAUGCUCUGCCUGUGAUCAUAUUCUUUCAUGGUGGGGGCUUCGCAUUCAUGGCGGCUAACUCAAAAUCUUUUGACGUACUCUGCCGGCGACUUGCCCGUGAAAUUAAUGCAGUUGUUAUCUCUAUAAACUAUCGGCUUGCUCCUGAGUACAAGUACCCAUGCCAGUACGAGGAUGGCUUUGAUGCAUUGAAUUACAUCGAUGAAAUGACCUUUGAGAAUUUCCCAGCAAAUUUGGAUCUUGGAAGGUGUUUUAUUGCCGGUGAUAGUGCAGGAGGUAACGUGGCUCAUCAUGUCGUGCUCAAAGCUUGUGAACACACAUUUUCUAACAUAAAGAUCAAGGGACUCAUAGCAAUGCAGCCAUUUUUCGGAGGGGAAGAAAGAACAGAAUCAGAAAUCAAGCUUGUUGGGGUUCCUUUAAUAUCAGUGGAAGGUACAGACUGGAUGUGGAAGGCGUUUCUGCCUGAGGGAUCGGACCGAAACCACUCGGUGGUUAAUGUUUUCGGACCAAAUGCGGUGGAUAUUUCAGGCGUGAAGUUCCCUGCGACGUUACUCUUUGUCGGAGGGUUCGAUCCCUUGCAAGAUUGGCAGAAGAGGUACCAUGAGGGGCUGAAGAAAUCUGGGAAAGAAGUACAUUUGGUAGAGUAUCCAAAUGCUUUUCAUGGGUUUUAUUGCCUGCCUGAAUCGCCUGAAUGUUCUUUGUUGAUCGGUGAGGUGAAGAGUUUUGUGCAAAAGCAGUCAUCUCUUACAUAGGGUGAGGAGACGACGAUCUCUAUUUUAUUAUUAUAUCUUAUUUUAUUCACAUUCAAUAAUUAAAUCGUAUUUAAAUUGCAAUGAUUUUAUUUACUAUUGAAGAUAGAUUAUUAUAUGGGUAUUGAAAUGUUCAAUUAUUUGAUGUAUUAGAUUUGACUUUUGAGGGAACGCUAAUUUGUUUUAAAUGCUGGAAGUACGUCUGGUUGGAAAAAUAUUAAAUUAAUAUUGUUUUUAGGUGUUUUUUAAUAUAAAAAUAUAUAUUAUUUUAACAUAUUUUUAAUUAAACAACAACAUUAAAAAAAAAUAUUUUGCUUUCCAUUACCAAUCACACUAAAAUUAUGUUGUGUGUCCUUUGAGCCAUUUGAUGAGGAAUGGUGAUCUAUUAAGUUUCUUGAGUACUCAUUGAUCUAUUAAGUUAUUUAAAUUUAAUCUGAGUAAUUUUUUAUUUAGAUAAAAAAUGAACUCAGUUUGAAUCAGAUUUUAGUCACCGAGUUGACCCAGCUAGCUGGUUUUUGCAGGCUGUGUUUUUGUACAUGUGGAGGGGAAGGGAAAUAAUGUAUAAUGAAAUGUGCAUGACAACUGGGUUGAUGCUUGAUAGUUUCGACACAGUUCAUUUUUCAUUGUAUGUGGGACAGAAGCAAAGAAGAAGAGAAGAGGACAAGAUGCCAAGAAAUAAAACGAAGACUUAUUGGAUGUUUGGUCUUAUUAGCAUAGCCAGUUGGAAGUGUACUGUUUCAUGUGGCUUAUCAGUAUCAAAACUUCGGGUUUGUUUGUAAUUAUAAUUAUGAUUGUAUUUUAAAAUGUUUUUUUAAAAAUGUAUUAAAAUAAUAUAUUUUUUUAAAAAAUUAUUUAUGAAAUCAACACAUCAAAACAAUUUAAAAAUAUAAAAAUAAAAUUUUAGCAAAAAAACAAUUGAAAUUUGAGAGAAUACAGUUUAAACCGCAUUUUCAAACGUUCUUUUUAUGUUUUUUCAAUCACAAAAUUACUUUAAAAAUAAAUGUUUAAUUUGUAUUAUAGUUAUAAGGUAUUUUUCACUUCAAAAAUAUAUAAAAAUAAUAUAUAUGUAACUUGGUUGUUCUGAGGAGAGUCCCGAGGCAAAUGUGGCUCUUCCAUAAGACGGUCGGAUUUGAAACCGAAGAACCAGAGUCAUGCUUUGUGCAAAACCCAGAGGGUUCAAAGAUAUCCAGAUAUUACCUUGCAUCAUCUGCAAAGACACUUCUUCUUAAUAUUGUUUCAUAUAGUAUAGUUCAUGCAUCUUAAAUCUGCUACAGGAAGAUAAAUUGGAAAAAGAAAACAAAGCUCUUUAUUUCAAGUAUGCUUUCAUAAAAGCCACAGCGCAAACAAAGGCAUGAUAUAGCACCAAAUCAUUUAUAACCUAACCCCCCCUAAAAAAUAAAAAUAAAAAUAAAAAUUGAAAGCUUUUGAGUCCUAUAUGGAGGUGGCACCAACUGAAAAACAAAUGAGAUAUGGAUUGUCAUAACCCAAUUUUUGAUCCUUUUAUUUUAAUUAUUUUAUUUACUAAAAAAAUGAUGAAAAACAAGUAAAAAUAAAAUAAAUGAAGAAUUAAUUAAAAUUUAGGUUAAGGGUAACAUGAUUGAUAAGUUGUGAGACUUAAUUAAGUUUGAAAAUUGAUUUAAUUAAUCCAAUCAAGGGUUUAAUUGGAAAAUUGAUAAGUUUUGAGACUUAAUUGAGCUUGGAAUUAAUUUAAUCCAAUUAAGGGUUUAAUUGGAGAAUUGAUAAGUUUGGAGACUUAAUUGAGCUUGAAAUUAAUUUAAUUACUCCAAUCAAGGGUUUAAUUGGAGAAUUGAUAAGUUUUUGGACUUAAUUAAAGUUGAAAUUAAUUUAAUUAAUCCAUUCAGGGACUUAAUUGAAAACAUAUCAAAGUUUGGGGUUUAAUUGGGGUUCGAAUUGCAAAACUUAAAAUCCAAGGACCAGCUUGAAAAUGGCGCCGAAAUGCAGGGGUCCAGUUACAAUUUAACUAGGGACUUAAUUACAAAAUUGUAAACAAUGGAAGGUCCAAAAUGCACAUAGCCAUUAAGCACCAAAAACGGCGCCGUUUUCCCUUUGCUGUUCAUCUUCUUCCCGACCGAAACGGACGCCCACCACCGCACAGCCAUCACUCCUGCAAUUAUCACACUUUAUGGUUGGAAGAAAACGGCAUUGUUUUCUCUGGCUAUAAAAGCCAUGGAACGACUGAGCACCAAAAAGGAGGAGGAAUAAAAGGGAACCAUCGACAGAACCAGAGGCAGCAGACCAAGAAACCCAGAACCGGGGAGAAGAAAAACUGGGGACUGAAAAGGGAAGACCCAGGGGAAAAACUGGGCAGAAGAGAAACCGGGGAAGAAAAAGGCGGGCAUAACCGAAAAGCCCUUGGAGAAAUACAAAAUCGGGGGGGAGAAUAAAAAAAAACUUGCGUUCCUCUGUUUUCUUCUCAAAGAAACAGAGGAGGCCACGAGCAGAAGAGAAGAAAAAGAACGACGAGCAGGGGAACAAACCGAAACAGAAAAGAAGAGGAUGACAGAACAAGGAAAGCUGAAACAGAGGAGAGGAAGCAGUGUUGGUGGAACAGCCCUUCCACACCGCCAUCUUCGUUUGCAAAGCAGCAGAACAAGAACACGUACAGAGCAGAGAGAACAGAAAACAGCAAGAGAAACAGAAACAGAACAACAGAAAAAGAAAGAGCAAGGAGCAGGAAGGAAGCUUGAAGAGAGGAGCCUCACCAUCGUUCUCACCGCCUCCAGCAGACCAGGUAAGUAACCUUUUCCUCUUGCGUUUCUUCAAUUAAUUAGCGUUGCACUGUGCAAGUGAAUUUUAAUUCACUUGCACAGUGCAGCAACACGCGUGGAUUAAUCCACGCGUGUUGCUCAGCCCAGCCCCAAAAAAAAUAAAACAAAAUAAAAGAAUAAAAAAACAGAAAAAUAAAAAAAAAUAAAAAAGAUAAAAAAUGUGUAUGCAUGAAUAAAAAUAAUGUAAAUUUACAGGUUUAUUCACUAACGCCAGAGUCAGGAAUAAAAAUACUGGUUUAAAUUUAUAUUAUUUUUAUUCGUUGUAUUUUUAUUUUAUUUAGCUAGAAAAAUAAAAAAAUAUGUGCAUUCGUAAAAAUAAAAUUUAUUUUUAUUUAUUUAUUCACUGGCGCUAGAGUAAGGAAUAAAAAAACAUCAAUCUAAUUUUUUUCGUAGCUACGAAUUUUUACCAACACCAGAGUUGGAAUUAUUCGAGCUCGAAUAUUCACUGGCGCCAGAGUCAGGAAUAUUAUAAACAAAUCAUCAUAGCAUAAACUAAUAAACAUUUAGCAAUUUAAGACAAAAUCAACAAUGCAGUCUGCCUUAGGCAGAACGUUUAAGGGGUAAUAAUAUAUUUUCUUUUACGUAACCAAUCCCGAGCCAUAGAAUCUCUGUUGACCAGUUAGGGUUCCUAGUGACCAUAAUAUUAGGUGGCGACUCCUUAAACAAGACAUUUUUUCCUAAAAGAACCGGAUGCCAGAAAUCUGUUCUUUUUCCACCAUAAUUCAAGAGAAUUAUUUUUUAGGGCCGCCGCGAUGUCGGGUGCGACAUGGAUGAAGAGUCCAUUUGGUAUGACUUAUAGAGAAUCUUUUUUGACUUCGAGUCAUAAUUCUAAAGUUAAUUUUCAUGAAAGACUUCUGACAAAAAUAAUUUAAGUUGGAAAUAUCUUUGGGAGGCAUUGGCUGAGAAUAAUUUCUUUUAGGAAUGGAGAUGGUACAAGUUAGAAUCAAUAGGUUACAAGUUAUAAAUUUCAACUUUUAAAUUGAUUGUAGAAAUAAGUUUUUGAUUCAAGAAAGUUAUUUCAAACCAAACAUAUGGUUUUUCUUUGAGUAAAAACAAAAAACUUAGAUAAUUUGCAAAAGUCAUGCCAAACGAAAUCUAAGUUGAGUAAUAUUUGUUAGGAUUUACCAUUUAAUGUGCACCCUACCCUAAGGGGUAGGGUUACCAUUUGUCAAUGGUGGUUGCACUCACCAUUGACUCCCAUGUGCAACUGCUGGAAAGAAGAAAAGAAGCCACCAUUUGCCUAUAAAUAGACACUACGAAAGAGAGCAAAAAGUGAGAGAGAGUUGUGAGUGCAAUAGAGAGGAAGAGAGAAAGAGGAGCUGCUGCCAUGGGCAGCAGCCCUGCUGCCAUUGCAGCAACGAGAGAUGGGAGUUGAGUGGAUGUGAUCCUCCUCCAUGUAUUUAUUGUAUCCUUUCUCUAUUUCUAAAUAAAAUGAACCUCUCCCGUGGAUGUAGGCGAUUUGCCGAACCACGUAAAAUAUUGUGUCUCAGUGUGCUUACCCCUCCUAUGAGCAAUUAUCAAUACAUCACCGGUCGUCGGAAUUCUGCCCAACAAUCAGGAAGAUCACCCCCUUUGACAUUUAUAUGAGCAAUUGUCCUCUUGCUUCUUCAGCACAAGCUUGCAUCCUGCUGCUCUUCCAAGCUUACCAUUCCGAGAGCGUCCGUGGCCAAGUUUACAGGUACUCGCCCAACCUUUCAAUCACUAGAGUUACCCAAAAGCACACCUUUUCUCACACAAAAGGAAUCUUACAACCAGAUGGUCUGCCACAUCACAUCUGAAGAGUGUUAACGCUUGUCUCUAGGACACAACAUUCCCUUCGAGCGUAUCAUCCAUGCUCGGUCCGGAAUGAUUCAACAAGCCUCACACCAAGGCUUACAACACCCCCUCAAACGGAAAUUUCUAUUUCCAAGUGCGACAGUCAUUAUCUAAGUAUCUCAAUAUGAUCACGAGCUCACCACUUUUCCAAGAGUCUACUCAUCCUGGAGUUGCGCCUGCCCUCUGUUCCAUCCUAGGAACCACGCCUUACUUCUCCGUGAGUCUCUCGCUCUUAGUCUCAAGAGUUCAGGUAGCUCUCCACCUUUAACCAUGGGGGCAGCCCAUUAAAGGUUGAUCCAUGUAUAUCUUGAUACUGUGAGUAUUACAAUGCCUUCACCGAGCUCACCACCUUGACAAGAGUCGACCUGUUCCUGGAACCUGCGCAUGCCCUCUGCUCCUUCAUAGCAGUCGCGUUUUAAUGCUCCACAAGUCAUCCACUUAUUAUCCAAGGCAAAUGUCUUCUAGCUCAUUAAUCUUUAGCAUGGAAGCAAUAUCCAUGAAAGUCAUCCUGCAUUUGUCUUCAUCAUACUCAUCACAGUCACUUCAUUGACUAUACACUGUCCACUUAUAUCUAGCCAUCACAUCGGCUCUGGGCGUUCUGAACUGGGGCUCCUAUCCUGGCCCUCAACCUUCUUCAAGGUGUCUCCGCUCGUCAUCAUGCGGCGGUCUGAAUCUAGGGCUCCUAUCAUGGCCCAUACACCUUCCAUCCGAGGUGUCUCCGCUCGUCAUUAUUAGUAAUGUGGUUUUGUUUUUUACUCAGGUUAAUCAGUUAAUAAGUGAGUCCACCAGUACGUCUCUUAACUAUCGUUGCUAAAUUAAAACAUUUUUUUUUAUCUACAACUAUGUGAAACUUUUUUAAAAUAAAAAUAUUUAAAAAAACAUUGUUAUUUUAGUUUUUUUUUAAUAAAUACCAUCGUUUUAGUUUUUAUAAAUAAAUAAUAUGAUGUGGUUUUGUUUUUUACUCAGGUUAAUCAGUUAAUAUGAGUCCACCAGUACAUAUCUCAACUAUUCGUUAUUAGUAAUCAAAAUAUUUUUUUUUAUUUUUAAUAUUAAUAUAUCAAAAAAUAUUACUACUUCACUGUAUUAGCCAAUCCUUUCCUUGCCUGUUCUCCUUCUUUUUUUUUUCUCUGGCGCAAUUGCCAACAAAUACCCCUUUUUCUCAAGGAGGCAGCCCUCCUUUUUCAUCACGUCUCCAUGAUCCCACACGUUUUCAUCAAAAACCUAAAUUUUGGGACUUCUUAGGCAGCCACUUAAAUGCUUUAGGAGUUCUUUUUUCGAAAUCCUCAUUAGAGGCUAAUUUGUAGCCCUUUAAGAUACCUUUCCAACGCGUCAAGAAUCAAACAAUCUGAUACGUGAGUGGAAAGUUGUGAUUAAAAUAUUUAAGUGCAUCCAGGUUGUUUUCAAGAAAAAAAAACAUUACUACUUUUAGUGUAUCCAGGCUGGUUCCAAGUGAAUUUAACGGAUACAUAAACUUAAAUUAAUAACUUUUAAAAAAAUAAACUCAAAAUUUAAUCAGUUAAAUUAUAUUCAUCAGGUUAACUCCUUCGAAUUUGAUUGGUCUUGACUUACUUUUCUAUAAACUCUAAGUCAAACACAUAAAAACCUGUUUAAGAGUAUAUAAAGUAAUAGAAAUUCAAUUCAAAUAUACACAUUAAUUUCUAUUUUUCUAUUCACAUUUUAGCAUUUUAUUUCAAUAAUAAAGCAUUUAGAGGUGUUUGAAAGUGCAGUUUCAAUUAUUUUUUAAUAUUUAUGUUUAACAAAUAUACAUCAAAUAUAAUAUUUAAUUAUUAUUUUUAAAAAUUAUUUUUAUAUCAAUACAUCCAAACAAUUUCAAAACACAAAAAAAAAAAUUAAUUUUAAAAUUAAAAAAUUAAUUUUUUUAAAAUACUUUUAAAUCAUAAAAACAAACAAAUAAUAAAAUAUUUUCGAACACUUAUCAGAACCAGAGGGAGUUUCACUGCAGUAGAAAACUUCAACGCUUGAUUUGCUAUCCAAUCUGUACACCAGCUGGAUAGCAAUUUCUUUUCAUAACAUUUACCAGUGUAAAAACUUUUUACUUAUUUUUAGUUUUAAUAUCAAAUUCAGUCUUGAAUAAAUUCUAAUAUCAAAUUUUACCUUCAAAAUUUCACUUAUUUUUAAUCAAUUAAAUUGAACAAAAUCACCUCUGCAUUGAAUUGUUUUUUCUUCUUAGACCACAAGAGCUCCAUAACAAGCUUAUUGAAAUAAAUUAUCAAAUGAAAUUAAAAACAAAAAUGCUUUAUAAAAAAAAAAACAGAAGACAUCUACCUUGUUUUUCACAAAAUUUCUAAGAAUAAAAAAUUUUAUUAGAUGUCUUAGCUGAAUUCUAAACUAUAAUAAAAUAAACAAAAACAAAUUAAAAAAAAAAAACAGGCAAAACAAGAUCACGUACUAUUGUAGUUUACAAUGAAAUAGGUGUGGAUAUAUAUAGUGAUUCUCCCAAGUCUCUUAGCUUUUCUCUUAAUGAAAAUUAAUAACCUUAUAAUAUCUUCCUAUUCGUAAGCUAUCUAUAAUUUUAUUUGAUGUCAUGAGUGUUUUUCUUGAAGUUAUUCUAUUUAAUGUCAUGAGUGUUCUAUUGAGGAAAAAAAACUCUAUUUAAUGUCAUGAGAUUUAGUAAUCAAAAAUUUUUUUUUUUAAUAUUAAUAUAUUAAAAAUAUUAAUUUAAUAUUUUUUUUCAAAAUAAACAGAUUUUUAAAUGCAAAUAAUUCUGAGUACAAAAACAAAUUAUGUUUUGAUUGCGCAUAACAAUCAUAGCAGUAAGUAGCAUGAUCCUUUCCAAUUGAGUAAAUUAUAGGACUUUUUUGGCAGCUUGUAUUAAGUAAAUUAAGAAUUAUUCUUUCCAAUUGAGUAAAUUAAGUACCAGGUAUUCAAUCUUCACAAACUUUAAUAUGUAUUAAGUCAGAUUUGUUUAAUUAGAUUUAUCAAGUUUGCUUAAUAAGAUGGAAUAUUUAUGAAUAUUUUAAUCUAUAGUGUUUUCUCUCUGGUACAUAGUAAAAGCCUGGGCAGUUUUUUUUUUUUAAUUUUAAUAAUAAUUCUGUUCUUUCUAUCCCAAGAACGAACAAAAAAAGAAGAAGAGAAAUCACAGAUGAGAGAAGAAUAUAUGGCUUAGAAAAAUAAUAAAGUUGCAGUAUACAUAAAUCUAGUUGCAUGGUUAGAUGCGGAUAGAAAAUAAGGUUGUGGUUGUUUUUUUAAAAUAUUUUUUAAUUAAAAAUAUUUAAAAUGAUGUUUGAUUUGAAAUAAUUUUGAUUUUUUUAUAGCCAUAAAAAAAUAUAUAUUGUUAAUUUUUAAAAGUGUGUUUUGUAUUUUAUAAAAAAUUAUUUUUUAAUAAAAAAUCACUAUACUCUCCAGCCAAAUACAUAUAUUAUAUUAUAAGAUAUAGAAAGUUAACAUGUGGACCCGCCUUAAUGUUGACACUUCGAAGAAGCUGCCAAGAAAAUGUAAACACAUGGAAGUUUCUAAAAAGAAUAGCAUAUUUCUGCAUGCUGUGAAUUUUUUAAAAAACAUUUUUAUUUAAAAAUUUAUUAAAAUAAUUUGUUUAAAUUAUUUAUUUUUUAUCAACACAUCAAAAUAAUUUAAAAAAAUUAAAAUUAAAAAAAUAGGUUGUAACUGUAAAGAUAAACCAGUUUUGACAAUGCUAGAUUAAGUGUGCAAAUGAGAGUGAGGCUCCAAAUCUAAUUACGUAGCAAUUACUAAUUGGGAUAAAAAGAAAUUAAAAGAGAAAUUACCAAUAUUCGCUUGCAGGUGUGUUUGGUAGAUCUUAUGCUUCUGCCUUUGAGUGUGUAUAUUAGCUUUACCAUGAAAUUUUGUGAGACAAAUUAUAGUGAAUGUUUUUCAUUUACCAAUAUACCCAUGGUGUUUAUAAGAGUGAUGCUACAUGCUGAGGUGGAUAUUAGCAACAGAGGAAAGCAUACAAAAGUUAACCAAAAAAAAAAACAUCAUUGAUAGCAAAGGCGAAAGCAUAUCAAGCUAACAAAAUCAACCCCACCAAUUCUCAAAUAUUCAGAUUUUAAAAAAAGCACAAUAUUUUAUUUGGUUUCAUUACAAAUUCAAUAUUUUUUUUAAGGUCAAUAUUUAGAAAUAAAUAAUAAAUAAAAGCUGCCCAUCAAUAUUUAAUUUAAGUAACCUCAAAGACUACUAAUUUAACUUUCGUUAUUAAAAGGGCGCGCGUAUGUUGUUGGUCCCUGCCUAGUUGAUGGGGCAAAUUAAGACUAGGUCUUCAAUCUUCAUAAACUUACAUAUGUAUUAAGUUAGAUUUGUGUAAUUAGAUUUAUCAGUUUGCUUAACAAACUUUCUAUGUUGUAUUAAUUUAAUUAUCACAAUUUCUAUGACAAUAACUAAAUUUAAUGUACUGCUCAUGUUCAUGUGUUGGGCUUUAUGCUUUCCGUUCUUCUUUGGAUUUUUCUUUGAAGUAUGGAAUUGGCAAUCCCAUUUCAAACCGACCCAAAUCCACCCAUUGUACAAGUAAUUUCAAUAUUAAUUAAUAAGAAUAUCCUUGUUUAUUUAAAGGACUAUUUUCAUCAUUCAUAUCCAAAUAAUGAUGUUUUGCACAUAAUUUUUAACAAAAAUAAUUGAAAGAAUGAUAUAUUAUUGAAUAAGAGGAAAUUUAAGGUUACAAUCUAUUAGUAUUCUUACAACCAUAUCUUGUCAAACGUUACAAAGGGACGAAGGACAUCCUUUGCAUUAGGAUGCUCCCACUCCACUACUGUCUCCCACCAUUCUUCUGGAUGUACCUUGAUUUUUUUAAGAGAAGGGGGAGGAGAUGGCUGGCCAUUUUCAAGCAACGGAAGACAAAUUGCAUCCUCUUCAGCUUCUCACAAUACUUUACUAAUAUCUUCGAGAGAAUUGCAAAUCAGUUUUGCACUACAAAUGCUUUUUAGUUCCGGUAAUGAAUGCAAUGUCAGAGUUCUUAACUUUGGGAGUGUUAAUUCCGUGAUGGAAUUGGAGGUGCUGCUUUCUUCAUCUGUUGUUCCUAUUAUCUCCUCCAUUUUCUUACAUGAUGUCACUUCAAUCCUUUCCAGGUUUACGAGGUUUGGCAGCAACACAAGUGGAACAACUUCUUCAUACUUUACAUCCAAACAAUAAAACCUUUUGACCAGAAAACAUACCACUAUAUGAUGGCAAUGUGGUGGAGCAGAGCAGAACCAAGAAGAUGAAACCAAGCUCUCCAUGCUAUCGCAAACCCCAAUGCUGAUUUCCUCCAGUUCAGUUGCAUUCUCUAAUGACAAAACAUCACAUAAACUUCUUGCAUCGAUGCAUUCACAAACCAGUCCUUGAAUGCCAUUUAAGAACUGACCUGAAAAUCUCUAUCUCCGUUGAUACUCAAAUUACCCAACCCAACUGUUUUACUUGGACUUUUCAGUGACAUAAAAGAAUUUCAGAUUUCCUACUGAAAUUCUGUAUGUGCUUAAUGAUUGGAUCCCAUCCCGAGAUCUGAGAUACUCCACGAAGUCAGAGAAACCUUCGAAAUGGCAUUCCAAAGUUUCCAAAUUUCCAAGGAUCCUACUUCCUUUCCUUUAACUGUUAUCGGAGCAUCAUCGCCAUAAACUCUUCUAGUACAAAGACUUGCAGGUGAGAGAGUUUUGGUAAUAUCCCACUAGGAAACUCCUUUUCACCACAUCCAUUCAUUCUAAGAUACCUCAGGUUGGUUAGGCAUUCCAUUCCUUGCGGCAUCUUUUCAAGCGCGUACGAGGAGAUCCAACCUCUUCAGUGCCCUGAGCUUCUUUAAUGAUGGAACAUGUUAAUUUUCACAACAUAGCAAUAAUGCAGUGAGACUCACCAAAUCAGAGACAGAGUCUGGCAAAUUUUUAAUACCUGUGCAAGACAGAUCGAGGACCUUGAGCCAUGUGCAAUUGCUUGAAAAAUGAAUCCGCAAUAAAUCCCAAAAGAUGAUUUUACAUAGCAAUAGAGUUGAUAGAUAGGGACACCUUGGUGAAUAGCUGGAAGGAAUUUCUUUGAUCUUGUUUUGCAUUAGUGAGACUCUUGUGAGAUUCUCUGUCCACUCCUCUGCAUCUGGCAACUCUUUUAAUUGCGCACCUGCUUUAACCAUGACUUGAGAGUUGUCUUGCAGUAUUUGGAUGGCCAUGUCCCUAAUCAAGUCAUGCAUCUUGACACAUCUACUACUACAUCAUCACAUAUAUCACAUUUUAGCACUUUCCAAUAGGCAGACAUUUUCAAGUCUAUUAAGCAUCGUGUGGCCCUCAUCAAAUGCAUCUCCCCUGCUCCUCAUUCCUUUAAUUAUUCCCUCAUCGAUCAAAUAACCUAUCAACUCCUCCCUUUCAAUCAUGAUCUUCAGGAAAUAAUGCACAGUACAAGAGACAUUGUUGUAGUGCUAAAUCACCUAACCGAUCAUAACUAAACCUCAAUAACUUGAAUACCUUCUCAUCCAUGUCCCUAAAUUCUGAUUCUCUCAAUUUCUUCAAUGUAUUUCUCCACUCAUGUAGGUCAUCCACUCCCCUCAAGCUUCCUGCCACUGUAAUAAUUCCCAAUGGCAAACCAGCACAUUCCUUUGCAACAGCUUUCGCAAUUCGUUCCACUUCUGGUAAAGUGUAUGUCACGUCCAAGUUUCUCCAUGAACAAAGUCCAAGCUUCUCCCUCGAAAGUGGCUUCACUUGAUUUUGCGGUGGCAAGCCAUCUGAUGACAAACCGUUUCUGAUCGAGUUGUCAUAAUCAGCUUGCAUCCUUUCAACGGGACAGGAAUUCCCACUUUCAGCUCAAAAUUGUUCCACAAAUCAUCUAAAAUGAGAAUCCAUUUUUGUUUCUUCCUUAGUUCUUCUGACAAUUUGGCAGCUCUAUGCAGAUCAUCAUCUUCGCUUGAAAGGUCUAGAUCAAGACGUUUAGCAAUAAGAUUCUGCAAUCUAUUAAUGCUGAAAUCUUGAGACACAGUCACCCACCAAACAUGAUCACAAAUAUCUGUCUUUGUAGAAGCUCAUUAUGGAUAUGUUUAGUAUUGUUGUUUUACCAACUCCCCCCAUCCCAUAAAUGCCAAUGGUUGGACUUCAUCAUCCAUUAACAAAGACCAUAUCACCUUCUAUUCUCUUCAAAUGCUCGACCCACUGGCUUUUAGAGCUAGUAGGUAAUGGAACUCCUCUAGUCUCACUUGUGUUGUAUUUAAGGCUUAUAGAAGAUCUAGCUCCAGCGUCAGGCCGCACUGAUCUUCCACUAUUCUCCAUAUCCUCCUCCACUGGUUCUGUCCUCACUCUAACCAUGUUCUGCACAUCAUACAUAACGACAUCAUUGUUUACUGAUGGAGCAAAUAGUUGGGCAUAAUAUCUUCCAUGAUCAAGACACAAUGGAUCUGUUGGUUGGGAUGAAUCUCCUCGAGGCUCAUCAGCUUGAUUAAUUGAUGGCCUCUCACAAGAGCUACCUCUCUCCAGAUGCUGCACUUGUUCUGUUCUCGCUACAGUUUCAAAUCCAUCAUGCAGACGCUCCACAUCCUCAUCUUCCUGCAUUAAAUACGUAGAGAUUUCAUUCAGCUGCUGCUCCUUUGAAAGGGCAGAGUGUAU
Molecule: long non-coding RNA, 58225 nt
Filed under: Populus tremula
Lineage: Eukaryota; Viridiplantae; Streptophyta; Magnoliopsida; Malpighiales; Salicaceae
Description: long non-coding RNA (PTRE_LNC001701)
Source: RNAcentral